RNAcentral lists this long non-coding RNA (51754 nucleotides) under Vigna radiata. RNAcentral's name for it is "long non-coding RNA (VRAD_LNC004342)". Lineage: Eukaryota; Viridiplantae; Streptophyta; Magnoliopsida; Fabales; Fabaceae. The record is from RNAcentral.
UUUAUAGUAAUACCUCGUCAAUAGUAACGAAUACAUAAGAAUGAUGUUAUUGUUUGAUUGACAAGUUAUUGUUGUCUUAGGUUGGUUUGAGUGGGGCAUUGGAAACAUUGUGUGGGCAAGGAUUUGGUGCAAAGGAAUACCAUAUGCUGGGAAUUUACCUACAAGCCUCAUGCAUCAUAUCUCUCAUUUUUUCCAUCAUUGUAUCCAUUAUUUGGUUCUAUACAGAACCCAUCCUGGUGUUGCUUCACCAAUCUCAUGACAUUGCAAGAACAGCUGCUCUUUAUAUGAGGUUUUUUAUCCCAGGAUUGUUUGCAUAUAGCUUCUUGCAAAACAUGUUGAGGUUUCUUCAGACACAAUCUGUAGUAAUGCCAUUGGUUCUACUCUCAGCUCUUCCAUUGCUUCUUCAAAUUGUCAUUGCAUAUGCCUUGGUUCAGAGGUCAGGUCUCAAUUUCACAGGUGCACCCGCUGCAGCUUCUAUUUCCCUAUGGAUUUCAAUGCUAUUACUUGCCUUGUAUGUAAUCUAUGCUAAGAAGUUCAGGCAGACAUGGCAAGGAUUUUCAAUGGAUUCAUUCAAUUACGUACUUACAAACAUGAAACUAGCUCUACCUUCUGCUGCAAUGGUAUGGUAUGAACCACAAAACAACCCUUCACUUUUUUGUGUAUCAAUAUAAGUUCCUACUUACUAUUUAUUGUUUAUGUAAUGCAAGUUUGGAGUAUUGGGCUUUUGAAAUUUUGGUUUUCUUAGCUGGACUUCUGCCUAACUCCCAGAUAACAACUUCUUUGAUUGCAAUAUGGUAAGGUUCUAACUGCCUUUAUAGUUCUGUUCUUAAUUAAAAAUGAGAGGUUCAUGUAGUUUAUUAUUGUCAAUCUUCAAAAACUCUACAGUACAAAUACAGAAUUCGUAGCCUACAUGAUCACUUACGGUCUCAGUGCAGCUGCAAGGUUAGUUGGUUGAACACAUUCUCUAUACUUCAAUUGCUUCACAUAUUUUCUAAUGACUUGUUGAAAAGUUGAAAUUUAAUUUUGAUAGCACAAGGGUAUCCAAUGAAUUGGGAGCAGGCAACCCAGAACGAGCUAAACAUGCAAUGAAUGUCACUCUCAAGCUCUCUCUCCUCCUUGGUUUCUGUUUUGUUUUGGCACUUGGAUUUGGUCAUAAUAUCUGGAUUCAGUUUUACAGUGAUAGUGCUACAAUCAAAGAGGAGUUUGCAUCAGUGACACCUUUGCUUGUCCUUUCCAUAUUACUAGAUGCCAUUCAAGGUGUCUUGUCAGGUUUGAAUUCUUCAUUACUUUUUUAUGGGAUUUUUCAUAGUGAAGUUCAUUACGGAGAACUUGUACACUUAAUCCAAUCCUAUUUUCAAUUCAAAAUUUCAAAACAUUGAGUUUAUGAGUGUUUUUUUUUUUUGUCAGUUUUAUCUAAUGUGAAAGUCAUACUUAGAUUAUCACAACACUUUUAACAUGCUAUCAUUGUACCUUGAACAUUAACUAAGAAUUAUUAGAAGGUAAAUUGUGUUUAAUGCUGCAGGGGUGGCUAGAGGAUGUGGCUGGCAGCACUUGGCGGUUUACAUUAACCUUGCAACUUUUUAUCUCAUUGGUCUGCCAAUUUCAUGUCUCCUAGCAUUUAAGACCAAUUUGCAGUAUAAGGUGAAUAAAUAUUUAAGGCAUAUGCUGGUUAUGAUUGUUCGAAUCAUCUUGGUUCUGUGAAACGGUUUGCUUUAACUAGUUUUACUAAUAUAUUUGUCUUGAAUUUGCUUUGUGAUAUAGGGUUUAUGGAUUGGUCUGAUUUGUGGACUGCUUUGUCAGACCGUGACUCUCUUCCUUUUCACAAGGCGUGCCAAAUGGUCUAAAUUGGAUCUUUCCCACGAAGACAAAGAUAAAGACCAUCCUCUUCUUAUAUAAACUUCUGCCAAACCUCCUAAGUUCGAGUAUGUAAUAACUGACGCAAGAGUUUAGUUACUGGUUCCUAAAUACUACCUCUUGGUGGUUUCUUAUGGCUGCUUAGUCUUGUUUAUUCUUUUUUGAAAAAAGUUACCUUUUACCAAAUGGCGCGAAGCGUCUCGUUUCCUGCAUCUAGAAGAAGUUACAGAGUCACUUGAUCUAAACCAUCGGAUCCUACUACAUCUGAUGACGUGGAUCGUACAAGGGUCCACGACCUAAUGGCUAUAAAUAGAGUGGGCCUCUCGUGUCAUUUUCGUCAUUAAUAUAUUAUUCUCUCAAUCCACUGAGUGGAUUCCUCUCUAGGUAAAUAAUGUCAAUCGCUAACUUGUGUUCGUCUAAGAAGUUUUCGGGGAGAGGUGAACGAGGUUAUGACAAUGGUGCCUUGUCUUCGACAACACCAGAGUCUACCUCCUCCUCCGUCUUUGAGUCAACCGAGUGAGAUGAGGAUUAGGUUGACAAUGAAGUUAGUGUAGAUAAAAAUAAGGUCGUUCAAAGCAGGGCACUAAACUUCGUUUAUGGUGGUGUGGACAUCACCACCACCGAUGAGGGUGUGGAACCUCAGGAGGGCCUCCCGAUCAUUCCAUGUUAUGAUUGAUCAUCUCAUGAAGUUGGGGAAUUCGUGACAUGAUUUCGAACCAAGGCCCAAUUUGAAGAUUGGGCCGAGCGACGUUUUAAAAUCUCUCAUGUUCGACCCUCUCUUCAAACUGAUGCAAAGGAAACAAAUGGGUGUUCCAUGGGAAGGGAGACAACCCCGAUGACUUCUUCUUUUCAUACAAUUUCCUCUUCAAUGGAAUGUUCAUUUGGCUUCCCUUUGAAGAUUUUCAUAUGAGGUCUUGAGGGAACUGAAUGUAGCACCCUUACAACUUCAUUUGAACGACUAGACGUAUAUGUAGGUGUUUCGGUAGUGAGAUUGAACCCCACAAACUCCUACACAAUUUGUCUCCUGGAGGUUUGGUCUCCUCUGCCGUCUCCUAGUUCCCUUCUUGAUGUUCAGCUCCGAGUGUCUCCUUCACAAUACUGUCCGUUCGUAUACCUGUCAAAGGUCUUUCGAUGUUCAAGAAAUACGGCUCACUCUAGAGAUAAAGAGAGAAUGAAAAAGAGCUGAAAUAAAUGCGAGUAAAUGUAACCAACUACCUCCUACCUUUGACUUGUAUUUAUAGUUUUUGUCAUGAGCCCGUGAUUAGCAAAACCUUAACUAUGGUCAAUUACUAGCCCAAUAUCCUUAAUUGUAUCUUAACUUAAUUCUGUCUUAAUGUUACAUUUAAUCUUGGCUGGACGGUUUGUCUAGAAUUAUUGUUUCUCCGAGAUCAUUAUGUUUGGGGCAACGUUAACAUGCCGUUGAUAGACCUCGCGUUGCGCCUAUGCCAAUUACCUUGGACAACCUUACUCGAUCGGGAUCUUUGCCAUAAGCUCGUAUCCCCGUGUCCUUGAGUUGUCGUGGUGGAUGUUGUAUCCAUGCCGAAUCAUGCUGGUCGAGCGUCUCUCGUACUUCUUCUUUUCAUACAAUUUCCUCUUCAAUGGAAUGUUCAUUUGGUUUCUCUUUAAAGAUUUUCAAAUGAGGUCUUGAGGGAACUUAAUGUAGCACCCUUACAACUUCAUUCGAACAACUGAGCAUAUAUGUAGGCAUUCAUGGUACUUUACGUGACCUUGGGUCUCAUGCCCACUUCAGCAAUCUUCCUCCACUACUUUUGAACGUGCCCAAUCGCCAAGUGUGGGUGGGUCUCAUUAAUAUCAGAGCAGAGGAAGAUCCUCUUCAAGCUCUUUGCCCUCUCUUUAAAGGGCUUUAAGGAUAAAUAUUUUAUGAUAGUAAUAACAGAAUACGACCGUUCGUGAUUUUUUGACGAGAGUGGCCAGGCCAAGUUUACCCUCUACUGGACCCAAAAUAUCGCUCGGAUAACGUGGUGCACAAGACGCGAGUGGCGCUGAUUGACUUGGAGGCUAUAAGCAUGCUUGACGAAGUCCCAUAUAACCUCCCUUCCCGACGACUUAUCCAAUGCUUUGGAUACGAGGACCUUAGUGCUGAGACGUUCAGUAUGAGAAAAACAUGUUGGAACAUAUGUCUGAGCAGUAGAUGGUAGACGUAACCCUUGAACUCAGCUCCCAGGCUGCGGUACUGAACUGACAUCUUGCUUAUGCCUCGGAUAGGGGUUCUACUGAAGCUUGUCGUGUUCUUCAACAAAAGUACCGUAACUUAGGCGAAGAGGAUUGGAAUUAGCUUAAUAACAUAAACUUGAUAAGAUGUUAAAAGAUUAACAGAAAAGUGUGAAAAAAUAUUAAUUGUGAUUCUCAAUUUUAAUAAAAUUACACUAAAAAAAAAAAAAACUCGAGUUCACCUUCAUUGAAUCAAGAGAUUAGAACACUAAGAUUAGUUUAAACUUAAAUAUGUUUUCAUGGAAUCUAAUGUUCAACUCCGAUUUUGGGUGAAAUCAUUAGAAAAUGACAGAAUAUGGGAUCUUUUUCUGGACAAGAGAUCAUAAACAAAUUUAGAUAAAAGAUUGUUACACUAUUUUUUAUUUAUAUAUUAUUCUAGCAUUUUCUACCUAGGAAUAUGAAAUUCUAAGAGGAUUUCCAUUAUUAAUCAUUCUUAUCAUAAUUCUUAUAACGUAAUUGUAAAAAUUAAAAAACUAGAGCCGGAAUAAAGAAUUUUGCUUAGUCCAAAAUACAGAUCAGUAUCCCAUCCAGUUCAACCACUAUACCAUCGUUAUAAAAUUUCCUGAAAAUAUAAUAAUUUUAUUGCAAAUUUUGUUCUCAUAUGGCCGUGGUGAGAUUAGAGCAGGAUCAGACAAACACUAGCAUAUUCGUGAAGAAUAUUCUAUUACUAGACACUAGACCCAGUCCAAACAUGAUCCAGUGCUUCAAACUAUGAAAGCCCAAACACAACACCUACCAGAUUUUUUAUUAGGAUGACCAAAGUUAUUUAUCAUAUUCUGCUUUUAUGAUCAAACAUAAAAACAUACGCUUUAAGAAAUUAUCUGUCAUGAAGUAAUUUCUGGUGCAUAGUUUGAUAAAAUUUAGUGGUUUGAGAACAUAUAAAUAGGGAUUACCAAUCAUUGAAGAGCCAUAUAUACAUGGAUAGCAUAGAGCAGAUGAAAGAGGAGAUAGAGAAGAUUGAAGAAAGUCCCAGUUCAGAUAGCACAGCAACACCUCUAUUAAGGGUAACUAAUGAUGGAGAAGAAAACACAAGAUGGUGGAAUGGAGUGUUGGACAUGGAAGAGGCCAAACAUCAACUAUUGUUUUCUCUUCCAAUGAUUCUUACUAACAUAUUCUAUUAUUUGAUCACUUCGGUUUCUGUCAUGCUAGUAGGUCACCUUGGAGAGCUUCAGCUUGCUGGUGCUACUCUUGCAAACUCAUGGUUCAAUGUCACUGGCUCUGCCAUCAUGGUAAUUCCUCUCUCUUUUCAAAAGCCUUUCCUAUAAAAUAAUAAAUAGAUUAAACUCCUUGAUCAUAGCUUUAUUCUGUUGUUUUUAGGUUGGUUUGAGUGGGGCAUUGGAAACACUGUGUGGACAAGGAUUUGGAGCAAAGGAAUACCAAGUGUUGGGAAUUUACCUACAAGCCUCUUGCAUCAUAUCUCUAAUUUUUUCCAUCAUGGUAUCCAUUAUUUGGUUCUAUACAGAACCUGUCCUAGUGUUUCUUCAUCAAUCUCAGGACAUUGCAAGAACAACUGCUCUCUAUAUGAAGUUUUUGAUCCCUGGAUUAUUUGCAUACAGCUUCUUGCAAAAUAUUCUGAGGUUUCUCCAGACACAAUCUGUGGUAAUGCCAUUGGUUGUACUUUCAGCUCUUCCAUUGUUGGUUCAUAUUGGUAUUGCAUAUGCCUUGGUUCAGUGGUCAGGUCUGAGCUUUAUAGGUUCACCAGUUGCAGCUUCCAUUUCACAAUGGAUAUCAAUGCUAUUACUGGCCUUUUAUGUCAUGUAUGCUAAGAAGUUCAAGCAGACAUGGCAAGGCUUUUCAACGCAUUCAUUCCAUUACGUAUUCACAAACAUUAAACUGGCUCUGCCCUCUGCUGCAAUGGUAUGGUAUGAGCCACAAAACAACCCUUCACUUUGUUAGUCCUUUUGACCAUUGAUCUUUCUUUACUAAAUCAGUACAAGUAGCCUAUUUUGCUAAAGAUACAUGAUAUAGAUGUGUAUUGAAACACUUUCUGAAGUUCAGAUUAUGAAAAUGUUAUUAUAAAUUAAUGUAAGAGUGUAAGGUCCUUAAUUAUAUAUAUAUCAUCAUACUAUCUGUUGUUUAUGCUAUGCAAGUUUGGAGUACUGGGCUUUUGAAGUUUUGGUUUUCUUAAGUGGUCUACUGCCAAACUCACAGAUAACAACUUCUUUGGUUGCAAUAUGGUACAGUUCCAAUAGCUCUAUAGUCUUUUUCCUCUAAACAACAAAAGAUUCAAAUGAUUUACUGUUGUUACAAUCUUCAAAAAAUCUGCAGUUUAAACACACAAUUCAUUGCAUACACAAUCCCUAUUGGUCUCGGGGCUGCUGCAAGGUUAGAUGGUUGAACACAUUCUUCUUUGCUUGCGUUGUUACAAAUGUUCUGAAUCAACAUUAUAUAUAGUACAUGAAGUGAAAAGUUGAAGUUUAACUUAGACAGCACAAGGGUAUCCAAUGAAUUGGGAGCAGGCAACCCGGAAGGAGCUAAACAUGCAAUGAAUGUCACUGUCAAGCUCUCUUUCCUGCUUAGUUUCUGCUUUGCUUUGGCACUUGGAUUUGGACAUGAUAUCUGGAUUCAGCUUUUCAGUGAUAGUUCCAAAAUUAAAGAUGAGUUUACUUCAGUGACACCCUUGCUUGCCAUUUCUAUAGUACUAGAUGCUGUUCAAGGUGUCAUGCAAGGUUUGAAUUUCUUAAAUUGUGCUAACAUCUUUGAUGUUUUUGUCAAAUUUCCUUGUCCUACCUCUCACUUUUUUACCCUUACUGUAACACCUUUAAUUGUUUGACCUGGUCCCUUAUUUGUUUUAGAAAAACAUUUGUGUCUGAAAAGUUAAAAAAAGUCUAAAAAACUUCAAGUUCUCAGGUGAAAAUUGUGUUUAAUGCUACAGGGGCAGCCAGAGGAUGUGGCCUGCAACACUCCACUGCAUACAUUAAUCUUUUAACUUUUUAUCUUGUUGGCUUACCAAUAUCAUGUCUCCUGGGAUUUAAGACCAAUUUGCAGUAUAAGGUAAAUAAAAUAUUUUGAUUUUCUUUUUGUUCUGAUAUCUUGAAGAAUCAUCUUGAUUAUGAGACCUUUCUGCAUUCAUGAGUUUUAUUAUUGUGCUUGUAUCAAAAUCUAUAGGGUUUAUGGAUUGGUCUGAUUUGUGGGCUGCUAUGUCAAGCUGGAACUCUCUUCCUUUUCUUAAGGCGUGCCAAAUGGACUAAACUGGAUGUUCUUAGAGACAAAGAUAAAGAUCAUCACAAACUGGCACAAAAUUAAUGACAAAAGAUCAUCACAAAAUUGGGUGAACAUGAUUUUUGUAAAACGUUUCUUGCUCAUACUCACUUUGAGAAUGCUAUAAUAUGAACUAAGCAACUAAGAAAUUCUGCCUUGAAAAUCACUAGAUUAAUGAGAGAGUAAUUUCUCGCAUAAGACCCUCUGAAUAUUUUUUUUCAAUACAUUCUUCACUUGUAUUUAUAUUUGAAUGAAGAAACCUCAUUCUUGAAUGUUUGAUUUAUCAGGGACAAUACAUAUGAUUAACUCUAUAGUCCAUGCAAAUGUGAUGUUUGAUGAAAAGAGUGUUUCAUAUUUUGUUGAAUACGAUACUGCAUGGAAGGAACUAGGCUUGAAACUUUAAUUAAUGUAUACCGUAUCUCGGAUCCAAGUCAGUAAAAAUGUUGUUCUAUAGGAACAUGAAGCGUGAACCUUAAAGUGGUAAGAUAUGAGUUUUAACUAAUAAUUUGGAGGAGCCAAAAUAAUAAUAUACUCAAAAUUUAUAUAUUUAAAUAGUUGCCACUAAUACAAUAAAAGUACAUAAUUUCAACCUUGAAAUCUCUUAAAAAAAUAUGAUAGUUUUGAAGUUGUAUUUAAUAGGUUUAAUAUAUUGGUAGGUCCCUAUUUUUGCCCUGAAUCUCAAUUACGUCCUUUUCUUUCUCAAAAUCUCAAUUGGAUCCUUAUUUUUGUAAAAUUGAAGCAAUUAAAGGUCUACCGUCAAAUUUAACAAAAAGCCGUUUAACUUUAGAUUACGUGGCACGGCCAACCACUUCAUUAGUCUUACAUGGCAUUGAAAAUGAAUUUUAUAUUAAAAAUUUGGAUUACAAUGUGGGCAUAAUCAGAUUUUAGGAAGGUCAAAGUGGGCAAAACGAGUUAUGUGUUUCAUUAGUUAAAUCUGCAGAGGAAACAAUCUGAAACGCAGAGAAUCAAAUCCCUAAUUCCCAUUUGAAUCAAUCUACAGAUGAAUCAAAUCCACUUUUCCAGAUGAAUCAAAUCCCUAAUUCCCUGAUGAAUCAUACAGGAGCCAUUUUUCCCUUUUCGUCACACCUUCAACUUCAACACACUUACCAUGCAAACAGCCACAAGGAAAGAAAUGGAAACUUAUGAACUCUUCCACAUGAACAAAGGCGCAGGCGAAACUAGCUAUGCCAUGAACUCUUCCGUUCAGGUUAAUUAAUUUCCUCUUACUUAUCUUCUCUGUCACAAACAUUCAACCUAUAUUCUUCUUACAUCGUACCUUAAUUUUUGCAAGAAACUACUACACUCAUGAUGUUGUGCUGAAAAAAAUGAUAAUUUUUGUUUUUUUUUACUUUGCAGAACACAAUUAUCUCUUGUGCAGAGGCAUGGAGAAAGAAAGCCAUUGUGCAGAUUCUGUGCACGAGUUGGCCUGAGAAGAUGGGCAUUGUUGAUAUGGGUUGUUCCUCCAGCCCUAAUGCCUUGAGGGUGAUUUCUGAGAUCGUGGAUGGCGUCUACGCGACCACGCGUCUGUUGGAGUGGUCGCCGCCGGAGUUGGUGGUGCAUUUGAACGACCUCUUCGCCAAUUAAUCAAAUCCCUAAUUCCAAUUUAAAAAAAAAAAACCUAAUUUGAAACAGCAACCAAGAACGCGAUCCCCACCACCCACGAGAACGACCACUGAGAUGCCGAAACAAACCCUCCCUCUUUGCACCACGAAUCGGACCGACCAACGUCCUUGUGUAGUCGUCGCGACCUUGCUGUACCAUCGAUUUGUUAUCUUCCGUUGCACCUCCACAAGGUCUUUGUCUCUGCUCGAAAACGCAAAAUAUUAUUGCUCCCAACGUUGAGUCUGUUCGCGUUAGUGAAAGGGAAGAAGCUUCAAGCUUCUAAAGUUCUGCGUUUAACUGGAACAGAGAAGAAGAGAUGGGAAAGAGUUUUCCCUUACGCCACCUAAGGGCUAAAUUUAGAUUUUAGCAUUUUCCUACUUUGCCCUUAUGUGAAUCUGAUUCAAUCCAAAUUUUUAAAACAAAAUGCCAUGUAAUCUCAAUUUAAACGGCCGUUUGUCAAAUUUGACGGCACGUCUUUAAUUGCUUCAAUUUUAUAAAAAUACGGAUCCAAUUAAGAUUUUGAGAAAGAAAGGGACGUAAUUGAGAUUCAGGACAAAAAUAGGGACCUACCGAUAUAUUAAACCUAUUUAAUAUGCAUUCUAUUUUAAAUAAUGUAUUUUAAUUUCAUUUUUUGACCUAUUCAAUAUUUCUAUAUUUGAAAACAUUUUCCAAGAUCACAUCUUAAAUAGUCGUCUCUACUUUUAUGGGUUUGGUUCAAAAUGAUCCUACCUUUUAAGAAAGUUCAGUAAGAUCCCAUAAUUUGUUAAAAAAUGUUCUGUCUGGUCCUUUUCGCUCACGCCGUUAAAAACUUAACGGUACAAAUGUCAUCGUGGCGCGUAACCUUACUGAACUGUGAAAUUUGAUGAAUAUGUGGAUGUUCUUCUCUUCUGUUUUUAGUUCACAGUUCCUCUUCUGCACUUAAAACGACUCCAUUGAUUUGGAAGCUUUUAAAGCUCCAAAUUUGUGCUUGUGACCUUUUCAGAAUCAGUUUUUCAGUUCAGUUUUUCAUUGUUUUUGUUUCUGAGAUCAAGAACAAUCACAGAUAAAGAAAAAAAAAUUGUUGUCUUCAACAGUUGUUCCAUCAUCCUCCCCUCUCACUUUCACCAAACCCAAUCCUCAUUUCUUCAUCAAUGUAUCUCCCCAUCUCAAACCAAAUCUUCUCACAAGGUUUCAAACCCAACACAGAGUCACUCCUCUCCAAAGUUCCAAACUCUUUUUCACCCCAACAUCUCAGAUCCAACAUUCAAUCUCAAAGGUAAGAUCUUUCAACGGAUAUCUUCCUCACCCUCUUUAGCCCUCGUCAAAACUGGAGGAGAAAAUGUUGACCCCAAUGUCCCCAAAUCCAAGAAUCUCAAACUUUCAAUGUACAAGGAUUGUGGGGUGCCCUUAUUAGCAAUGUUGGUUUUGUGUUGAGGAACAUCUACACUUUGAUCGCUUAAACUUGUAUGGCUGGAUUACCAUUGUUUCAUUCUUGUACCUAUUUCUAGUGGCUAUUUUUGUUGAAGGGUCUCAGUGGAUCCCUGGGUAUUACAAGGCUAUUAGGAAAACCAUCCACAUUUUAUUUCUGGGUGCUGUGUUCUGGGGUUCUCUACCAUCUUUAUAAUCAAUCAUCAUACCAAGCACUUGAUGAAAUUAGGCCGUUGACUUUCUUUGUGGGAAACACAAUGAAAAGAGUGGUGGUGAUUGGAUCCCUCUUUUAAAUUUAAAAGAGUUGGAGUUUCCAGAGUUUCUGGGCACAAAGAGAUUAGGGCAUGGGAGGGAGAGGCGUGCAUGGAAAGCUGGUGGAGGUGGAAGAAGAAAUUGACGUGUCAUUUUAAAUUUUUUUAAAUAUUUACACAGUGUAACGUCCACGUAUUUAUCAAACUUGAUAGCUCACUAAGAUUGUGCCACCAUGACAUUUGUACCGUUAGAUUUUUAACGAUGUGAGCGAAAAGGACCGAAUUGAACAUUUUUUAACAAAUUAUGGGAUCUUACUGAAUUUUUUUAAAAGGUAAGAUCAUUUUAAAAAAAAAAAACCUAUAAAAGUAGGGACCAAAAUAGGUAUUAAACCAAUAGUUAAUGUAAAAUUCUUCAUAUGUUAUUCUUUGAAUCUUAAAAGGACUCUUUUCUAAUUGAACAAUUGGGUCAUUAAUAUAAUACUUUAGAAUAGGUGAAUAAAUUGAAUUUGUGAUGUUUUUAUCUUCACGUGUAACUUCCAUUUUAUCACCUUCAAAAAAUUAAUUUAUUCUUUUAUUCUUCAUUAAUAUAUCUAUUUUAAAAAAACAUAAAGAUUUAAAAAAAUUAACUAUAUGAAAAAACACUAACAAUUAAUUUCUCCUCUUAUAUUCAUAAAAAAAAUUAUUAUACAAAAAGAGUCAUAAAAUAAAAAUUAUAUAAAGUACCAUAAAAAUAAUAUUUCACUAUUAAGUAGAUAAAAGAAAAUUAUUUUUUUCUUAAAAAAUGAAACAAAACAUAUUAGUAAGGAAAGUUGAAUAAUAAAUUUAUGUUUAACUCUACUUUUCUUCAUAAACAAAAAAUAGCAUAAGAGAGAAAAGGGUUUUUUCUUUAUGUUUUUGGACAAAAUCACUUUGAAAAUUAUCAUUGUAGGAAUUUUUUAUUUAUUUAUGUAUAUAGGCAAGUCAUGCAACCCUCACACGACUUCAAAUGAAGAAUUCGUGCAGGAGGUGCACGACUUCUACACUAUCAUAGUGAAAAAGGUGAAGUCGUACACCCUCACUCAUUUUCAAUGCCUACUAAUUGAUUACAAGCAGUUGUAAUCGAUUACACAGUGUUAAAAUCGUGCAGGGUGUCCACAAAUUUUAUGGUAAUCGAUUAAGCUUUUGUAAUUGAUUACAAGAAUGUUGUAAUAAAUUACUAGAGACUAAAAUGGUUGAAGUAAUCGAUUAUUGUGGUUGGUAAUCGAUUACCAGAGGGAUUUAGGCAUAAAAAACUUGUCAUUUUUGCUUUAUACUCAUCAUAAAUUGGAUCAAUUGUUUAUUAAAGUAGAAAAUAAGAUAUAAUAUAAGGCAAAAUGUAGUUUAUUAAUAUUAAAAAAUAUUAAUAAAAAGAUGUAAGAAUUAUUGACAAUAUGGACAUGUCCCCCCAUGAUGACCUUCGUUGUGGCAGUAACAAUAUUUUUUAGGUUUAUCUAAGAUCGACUAAUCCAUAUCAUUAUGGAUUAUAGUAAUAGUUAGUCUUCCUGAUGCCUUACAGACUAAUAAUCUUCAUUUUGGAAGGGGUGAAGUUAGACUUCAUAUGCCUUGUAAAUAAUUAUAUUAAGUUAGUGGUAUAUGUGAAUAUGCACAAACGACAAUGACAUGAUGACACAGGAGGCAUAUAACUUGGAAGUACCACGAUCACACCAUCAUUAAUUUAGCCCGACGUUAUACAAAAUUGGAUGUGGGUGAUAUUGGUGGAGUGUUGAGAUUUUCUGAACAUCAAAUUCAAAAUUUUCUCGAUCAUAGUGAUGAACAUGAUAAAAUGUGAAUUGUUGUUGAUUUUUUUGAAUAAUGUUAGUAAUUUCUUCUGGAUAUUGGUGGCCGACUUGUAACAUGUAUUGUGCUUUUAAACCUCGUUCAACAAACCAUGAUUGUGUCAUCCCAAAUAUUGUUUUGAUUAGAGCACAAAUUUGUAAUGAACGUGCUCUCUUUAGCAUGGAGUUCGUGCACUUAACAAGAUUUGUGAUCAUAUGUUCAUACCUUAUACCUCUAUCAAAAGUCUUAGUCCAUUUCUUUAAUGGAAUUUUAUUUAUCCAAGCUACUUGUUAGGGGAAUAGGUCUCUCAUUGCGGUAAGUUUUAUUGUUACAAUGGGUUGUUUCACUUCAUAAGUUAUAAGAACAUAACAAAAUAAAAUUGUAAGAGUUCAGUGUAUGCAAUUUUAAAAGUAAAUUAAUAGUACAAAUUAGUUAAUUAUUACCCAAGUUUAUGAAUUAUCGCCUGAGUUCUUGAUAUUUUUAAUUUUUUAUUAAAGUUUGAGGCUAGAUGAGGUAUGCAAUAAACAGAGCUUAUACCAUCUUUUUUCCAACCAACUUCUUCUGAUCUUAAGCUGAUAAAAUGCCCUUCCCUCUAUUAGUGAUGAUGCACAGAUUUUGAGGGUAACAUGCUCUUGAAGUAAUUGAAAAAGCCUCCUUUGUCUCACCUUCUAUAAUACCAAAUUUCAAUGGAAAAAAGAUUUUUGUUGUCGUCUUGAGCGAUUGUAGUGAGCAAAGUUCCAUGAUACUUACCUAUUAGAAAGGUUCCAUCGACUUAGAGAAUGGGUUUACAAUUUGUGAACCCUUUUUUGCAUGGACCGAACAACCAAAAAACUCUUUCCAUAACAUAGCAUGAGGUGUUUGAUACUCCAUCAACAUCCACGGGAGAACUAGUGCAUUGAAUAAUUGUCUUGGAUUUGCAUCUUAGACAAUAUGUAACCCCUGUGAAAAAUGAUUAUAAGAUUCUUAGACAACAUAUAUUUGUAUUUAUUAAAUGUUGUCUAUUAUCUUCAACUUAUCUCAUAAGUGAUUUUUCUUUUUCAUAAUCAACUCUAAAUAUCCUAUUUUCUCUUUCCUCUUGUAGAAUCCCUAAUUUCCUCUCUCCAUGCACAACAUCGUUUCCCCCCUUUUUGUCAAAAGAAUCUUCCCGUCUCUUGCCUUUCACCUCUCAUUCACUUCUAAACACUAAAAUCUCAUAUUCCUAUCAGAUUUCUACGAUUUCCAUCGAUUAAAAGCUCUAAAAAUCAUCAAUGGCGAAAUCCUCAAUGAUAAAGUGAUCAGUGCAUAUUUAUGUCCUCGUGUAGCCUUUAAUAUUAGAUUCUUAAUUGGUUUUUGAACUUUAAUAGAAUAUUUUAAUCAGGAUUUGUUAUAAUUGGGUUUAUUUAGCAUGAGAUACAAAAACAUGUUAAAAAUAACUUUUCAAUUGCAUAAAUGUUUUUUUGGAUAUUUUGACGUGCCUUAGUGCAGCAGUAGCUAAGUUGAGCUCAUUAAGGUAUGCAAAUAAAUUGGUUAAAGUUUCAUGAAACCUUAAAGAUAAAUCCAAGAAUAGCAAAUAAUCAAGACCACAAGAAGUCAAUCCAAGCAUAACAUGAAAAAAUGAAGAAAUUUGGCUAAGCUAACAGACAACAAAAAUUGGAUCUUGCGGUUUUCUCUAUUUUUUCUACCAAAAGGGCUUUGAUAAUUGAUAAAUGUUUAUGAUUAAAGAUAAUUUAGGAAAAACGUAUCUUGAGAUAUUUUAUUUGAUAUUGUUAAAUAAUUACCUUAUUUAAUUAUAUAAUAAAUAUCAAAAGAUAAUAUUUGUCAAAUCCUUUUUAAUCUAGCACAUAUCUUCUCAAAUAUUUUUAGAUCUCCACAACAAUCAAAUAUAUUUUGAAGAUAUUGAAUUAUUUAGAAGAUAAUUGGAGGAAAUUACAUUAUCGUAAAGAAGAUUACAACAACAGAAAAGCCUGAAACAAAGCCCAAUCCAAUUUCUAUAUAAAGAGACUUAGGGAAACACAUUAGGGGAGCUGAGGAACCCUUUGCAGGGUUCAAAUUUCGUCCUCCCUCUCUUCUCUCAUGUUCUCCACCCUCUUUUCUUCUAUUUUCAUGUUAUUUCAUCAUUCCAUGGAGUGCUAAGUCUUAAUGAAUUAGCAAGUGUACCGAAUCGUAUCAAGUAAUAAACAUGGUAAGACCAAGUAUUGUUUCCCAAGAGACUCACAACCUAAACAUUUAUGUGAUUUCUUGAUUAAAUAAGACUUGAGAACAAACUCAUUUGGUUCUAAAUGCAGAUACAAAAACGUAAAUAUGCAUGCAAUUUGAUCAAUUGAACAGAAGCACAGAGAUUAAUGGAUGAUGUUAGUAUUAUGAGAUGAAUAUGUUGUUGGGAGUUAGAUUUCACCUAGCUUACUCUCUUGUAUAAAAGAAUUCUUCUUCUUCAUUAAUGUCAAUGUCACUAUCUAAAGUGUUUAAAACUCGAUCCCUCAGUGAAGAAAGUCUAUCCUUAACUCCUAGGUCACAGUCCCUUGCAUCCCUAAUAAUUAAUUCUACAUUACAUACACACAGAAGCUUAAGACAACCAAAACUCAUAUCCCCAUCCCUAGGCAAUAUUGCUUUUGGGAGAGAUUUUCCAGAACCUAAAUUGUAAGAUAUCUCCCAAUACUUAUGCAAUUUAUACAUCAUGCUAUGAAUGAGUUAAACAAAGCAAGCAAUGAAAGAAGGAGAAAAACCCUAACACUUAAUAAAAGAAGCAUAUGUAACUAAGAAUCAAUUCAAAUACAUGAGAGUUCACAAGGUUACAUCAUUUCCCAACAACAAAUGGAAUUUAGUUCCCCAUUAACAUGGUGAAGCUAGAUGUACAAUGGAAGAAUGAGAUAGAAAAACCCUAAAAGUUGAAGAUGGGAGCUCCUGCAUCCAAAUCUGCCUCCACUGCACCUCUUCUGCAAAAAUAUCCAAACCCUAGGACGUCCAAGUCCUUUUAUAAAAUAGUUAAAAAGUCCAAGCUCACGUCACCGACGCUCAGCGCCCGACUUAGGGUGCCCGGGCUCAGCGCCCCACUUAGGGUGCCCGGGCGUCAUCCAAAAACAUAUGGCACUCAGCUUUACUCAAAAGGGUAAGCAGGCAUGGUGCGACUUGAGGAAGUGGCGCUCAGCACCACAAAAAGGGCGCCCAAGCACGGGCCCGAAGCUUUCUACGCUGAGGGCCUCAUAAAAGGGCAGUCAGGCGUGAGACAGUGAGUUCUGGCAUUGAGGGCCCCUAAAAAGGGCGCUCAGGCGUCCUGUGAUCCUCCUUUCUGAUGCUUUUCCAGUUCUUCCUGAGUUCCAACUCCUUAGUACUUCAACUCUUCUUCCAAAUCAUCUCAAUUCCUUCUAAAACAAGGGAACCUAGCCAUAGAAUCAUUAAAUUCACCUUCAACUCUCUUAUUCACACAACUUAAGCAAAAUCAUGAUUUCAAGCAAGUUCCUAAGUCAAAAAGGGUGUACUUAGUAUCAAAAUUAAGUCAUAAAUAACGGUAAAUUCACCAGUUAUCACUAAGCCUCUCGGGUUGAUUGUGUUGUAAUUUCUUAAUUGGAUUCUGAGGUUAGAUGAAUAACUUCGUUUGUUCUUUUGAUUCUUGUUUUGAUUUAUUUUUAUCUAUGUCUUUUGCUUCUUAAUCAAGUAAAAUUAAUGAUCUUCACACUAUAGCAAUUUAGCAUGGUGUGAAAUCUAUAUAACAUAUCAAUCAUAUGAGUCCAAGGGUUUUUAAUUUUAAUUGAGAAUUUACUUUGAUUAAAGUUAGAAGCUUUCAUAUGAUUGAAUGAGUUUUUUCCAAUAAUUGAGAAUGUACUUUAAUUAGUGGUAAAAACUUUAACAAGAAUUAAUCAAGAAUGUACUUUGGUUAAUUAGCUUUUUUAUUUGAUAUAAGAGGUAAAAGAAUAGACAUGAUUAGACAUAAUAAUAUUUAAUUGAGAAUGUACUUUGGUUAAAUUUACUAUGACUAAUCUACAAAGUUCUUGCUUUUAAUUAAGAAUGUAAUUUGGUUAAAAAUGAGAAUGCCAGCAAUUUAAUUGAGAAUUUACAUUGAUUAAUUUGAAAAUUUAAGACAAUAGUUAAUUGAACAAUAAUCUUUAGAUAACCAAUGAUGAAUCCUAUUUUGAAAAAGCAGUGAAAUUAACCUAUUUUCUUUAUCAUUGUCUUUCUAUCCUUAUUUAUUUUGUUCUUUAAUCUUUUAUUUUCUAUAAUUACUUCUAUUAUUUUAUUUUACUAACCUCUUUUGAAUAGCUUUUAUAAGAACUAACUUGUUAGAAAUCAAUUUCGUGUUAUUAGGAGACGACUUAGGGUUGAAUUUACCCUUUCUAUUUUGUUGAUUGCUAUCUUAACAAUACUGAAGUUGUUAUAGUUUAGUAGUAUUAAUUUGACCACGUCAACGACAGCCUAUCACAAAGGCUAAAGGGUUCUUCUUCUACUGCAGGAUGUCAUUGCCAUUAACCCACUAAGAAACCACCAUCACCACCAUCAUCAAAUCCAUUUGUCCCAACCACAUGUCUCGAUUUGUUAUUUUCUACCACUGCUCGGUAUGAAAGGUAUUGCUCUAAUUUUUUUUUAGCAUGACAUCAUUGAACCAAAAAUAUCUAUAUAUCCUAACUUUUUUGAGAAAGAAAAUUUAAGUGUUUUAAUCUGUUAACAAAUGCUGGUCUAGUUGAUUUUGUUUGUCACAAAAAACAUUAUUAUCCCAAGUUAAUAUGAGUCUUUUAUAAUAAUAUGCAUAUCUUUUAUGAUGGAGUCAUUCAUAGUGAGGUAAAAAAAUUUAGAAUAACCAUUCCACCCUUUUUAAAAUCAAUAGAAACAUACCUUAUGUAGGAUUGUCUUUUGAAGGUAAUAUACCUGAUGAGUGGACAAAUGAUUACUUUGGCCUAUAUGCUAGACAAAUCAUUUGUAACUUGAAUGCAAAUAUUUCGGAUAGAAUAAGUCGAUGAAAGUUGAUACUAGAAUACUUUAUUACAUUAUAUGUCGCAUUUUGAUUCCUCGUUCAACUAACUUUGCAAAGGCUACAAAGGAAGAUCUUAUUUGAUAUGAACACUUCUCACAUCAAGGGAGAUUAAUUAGGCUAUUCUCAUUAGACAUAGGAUGAAAAGACCUUAAGGAACAAGGCUCAUUUACUCAUUACCAUUUUUAUGGAGCAUUUUGAAGUUCCUUUGGAUGAUGAGUCAUUUGUUCAAGUGAAGAGGUCAUUGAGAAUUGGUGCUAAAGUUAUUAGUUCCUUACUACAGGAAUGAUUGAUAUUACCGACGGCCAUGAUUCGUCGGUAACGUACAAAAUCCGUCGGUAACGUACAAAAUCUGUCGGUAAUUAGCAUUUAUCGACAGCUUACCAACGGCCAACACACCGUCGGUAAAAAGGUUGUCGUAAACUUUUACCGAAGGCUUUUGGCCGUCGGUAAUGACCGAAGGAUAUAGGCCUUCGGUAAAUCCGUCGGUAAAUGUCGCGACCUGGUUCAUCUUCUUCCUCUUCCUUCCUCGCUCUGUUUUAUUUUUUUUUUCAUUUCCACGAACUCCACCACCAAAAAACCAUCACGCGAAUAACCGUAGGGAAACAUGGAGAGUUGAGCUCGCCGGAAAAGUUUAAGACCGAUGAUGUUGUGUCAUUUUAUCAUGGAGAGUUGAGCUCACCGGAAAAGCUUAGGAUCGAUGAUAUUGUGCCAUUUUAUUAUGCACAGUUAAGCUCACCGGAAAACUUGAGCUCGCCGGAAAAGUGGAGCUCGCUGGAAAAGUUAAGCUCGCCGGAAAAGUGGAGAGCAUCCCGUGAUGGCGGAGAGUAUCCUGCGACGGUGGAGAGCAACCCGCAAUGGCAGAGAGCUGAAGCCACAAGACGAUAAGGAGAAAUGAGAAAUGAGUAGUGGUGGUGUGAAACUGAGAUGGUAAAGAAAAAUGAGGAGAAAUGAGCGUGUUUGCCCAUUAUAUUGACACUGGGCGGUAAAUCCGUCGGUAAUGUCGGUAAGUGAGAUAAUGGGCGGGAAAAUUCCCGCUCUUUUUACCGACGGCCAAAAGCCUUCGGUAAAUCCGUGGGUAAGUGACAUUAAAGUUACCGACGGGCACGAGCCUUCGGUAAAUCCGUCGGUAAUGUCGGUAAGUUACCCACGGCCAAAAGCCUUCGGUAAAAUCCGUCGGUAAGUGACAGUGCCAUUAACGACGGAAAAGGGCUUUCGAUAAAUCCUUCGGUAACUGACAUUGUCACUUGCCGAAGGCUUUUGUCUGUCGGUAAAAGAAAAUCAAAAUCCCUCAGUAAAGUCGUCGGUAAUGGAAUAUUUACCGACGGAUUCACUUCCGUCGGUAAAAAUACGUCAGUAAUAUUAAUAAUUUUUGUAGUAAUGAUGUAAUCAAUUAUUACAAAAGUCAUGGACCCUCUACACAAUUUUUUAUUGUGUCAGUGUAGAAGUUUCGCAUCCCCUGUAUAACUUCUUCAUUUGAAGUCGUGUGAAACUUACACGACUUGUCUAUACAUAAAUAAAUAAAAAAAUUUGCCUAGUUUUCAAUGUGUUUUUGCCUAAAAAUUUAAAAUAACCGGAAACACAGACCAUCAAAAGAUAGGGAGAGAAAAUUUUAAAAAAUUCUUAAAUUUUUUAUUCUUUAUUAUAUUUAAUUUUAUAUUUUACUAUUUAUUAAAUAACGUGUUUUAUAAAAACUAAAAAGUCACCUAAUUUAAUUGUGAAAUUAUAUAUUUGAGAAGUUUGAGAAUAUGCUUCAUCCCUGGGUUUAGGUUACUUCAAAUGUAUCUUCUGCGAUAUUUUUGUGCAAAUAGUAUAUAUCGAUGCAAAUAUUUUCUUAUUGUUGGGAGCAAGCAUCAAACAACAUUAUGAUAAAAGAAAUAUUAAUUAAUAAUAUCAAACUUACGGUAUUAUAGUCAUCAGAAAAUGGAUAAUUUUAUCAAAGUGGGUCAAUUUCCUUUCAAAAUUACAUAUACGAGUUUGGUUUUUAAAAACUUGUUAAUAAGUCAUGUUAUGUAAAUAGGAUUUAUUAUAAAAGAAUCCUUCCUGUACUACAUAACUUUUUGAGCUACGAAAGUGAAGUUAUAUUAACAAUGACAUUAAGAAUAUAAUUUACCUAAAAUUUUAGCUAUCAUAAUGACAUUCACAACACUUUACGAAAAAAAAUCAUUAGUAUUAUAUAAACUAAAUGAUUACAAAAAAUCGGAACAUCAUAAGAAAAUUAUGUUAAUAAUUAAUAGGAAAAGUUUUUUUUAAUUACUUUUUUUACAAUUUUUUACAACAGUUUAUGUAUAGUUUGUUGUUUAUUUAUUUCAAAUAUACUUAGUAAUAAAAUAAUAACACAUACUUUAUUAUUAAAAAAUUGUUCAAAAAAAUUGUGAAACAUAUAGUAGUCGUAAUUAAUGUCAAUAAGUAAGAGAAAGAAAAAAAAGGAAACAUUAUAUAGGAUAAUGAUGAUGUGAUAAAUUUUUUACAUCGUCACGUGUCACAUUCUGGGUGGUCGACGUGUUUUAAAAAAUAAAAUGAUAGAAUGGCGUAGAUUUAUUGUGGAGUUCAAGAGUGGUAGAUUCAAAUAUGCCCUAUUGGUGUUAAAAGUUAGCCUAAACUAUCCAUUUAUUUGUACAUUGCUACCACUUUCCUUUUUGCACCAUAACUUUAAAGAAAAACGCUUUUUUUUAUGAAUUUCAAUAUAAAUAUGUUCUUAAAUGAUAACUAAUGAAUUUUAUUCAAUAAAAUUGGUUAAAAAUAAAUUAUGGAAUUUAAAACAAGUGAUAGAUUCAAAAAUGUUCUCCUCGUGCUAAAAAUUAGCUUAAACUUCCACUUAUUUGUACAUUGAUUAGUACACAUUGAAUCCACAUCAUUUUCUCAUUUUAUUUUUUAAAACAUGUGAAUCACCCAGAAUGUGACACAUGUCGGUAUAAAAAAUUUGUCAAUGUCAAAAGUAUCAUUAUCCCAUUACAUAUUCCUCAUGCAUCUAUUUAGUGGGGAAUGGUGACAGAGGAAAAUGAUCCACAACAAAGAAAGAACAAAGAAAAAAGAGAAAAAAAAAUAAUGGUAAUCAUCUUUUGCAAUUAACAGAGGCAAGAAAAGGGCCACAAGAACACAUAUUCAUGUCAAAAAAUAGAUGCUUCCAUUAGCGUCAUUCUCGACCCAAUUUAAGCAGACCCCACAUGUUAUUAAGGUUGUUAUUUUUGUUUUUCUUGAAUGAAAGAAUUAACAGAAACGAAAAUGAUUUGUAAAAAGGUUGCAUUGAUCCUGUUGGUUGCGAGCAUGUUGAUGACGAGCCAUGGUCGUCGUGUAACUAUUCUUAAUCCUGGAACGAACAGUAUGAAUGACAUUAAAGAGGAGGGAUAUAGUGCGUCUGAACAUGUGAUGCAACGUGGAAAUGACAAUAACGUUAACAAGGAUGAAAAAACAGUUCAACAUUGUUACGCACAGUGCAGCGCAGCAUGCGUUAAUCCUAGUAGCACCGAAGUCGAGAAUAUCUGUUAUAACAUGUGCAAAGAUCAUUGUCAUUUUUGAAAACCCUCACCACAAAAUGUUUUCACCUCAAAUAUGUCUUCUAUCUUUCUAUCCUUCCUUCAUUUCUUCUUUUUUCUUUUUUUCAUAUUCUGGUUACAAACAUUCCUGUACCUAUAUUUCGUCUGGCUUAUUUUGUACAUAGACAUUGAUAUUUUCACAUUCAAAUUUUUUUUUUAUAUUAUUUGAUACUAUUUUUUAUUAUUUAUCAUUUUUUUAUUUUUUUAUAUAUAUAAAACUUAACUUUUUUUUAUGAUUUCUUUUUUUUUUCUAAAUGAGUUGCCAAAAGUUUUCAAACAUUUUUUCUUUUUUUGUCUAUACCUAUGUAGCCGGUUGUAACUUGUAAGGUCUUCUUCUUCCUUUAAUAUAUGAUUAUAUUUUGUUGAAUCAAUAAAGUUGAAGUUCAGUUGUCUAUACAACAAGUUUGUCCAGGCUUAUUUUAUUUUUUAAAUUCAAAGUAUGAAGGAAUGAGUAAUAAAAAUAACCCUAUAGAAGUUUUAACAAUUAAAAAAAUAUAUUAUGAUUCUAAACACAACCCAUUUUUAUAUACUCUAUAUAUUAUCAUGUAUUAUUUUACUUUUUUUUAGGACUAUUUAUUGAUUUACUUAUAAUAGGAUCACUAUUUAGAAUAUGAUGUCAAAAUUGGUUUUAACUCGUUGGUCAAUUUAACUAGUGAGUUUGAUCUAAAAACAACUUUAAAUUUUUUUUCAAUGGAUCGAAAUAAAUUUAACUCACAGGUUAAGCAUGUUCGAACUAAAUUGUUGACAUAUAACUCACCAACUAAUACUUUAUUCAUAAUUUUACCAUUUUUUAUUAAAAUUAUUUACUAUUUUUAAUUAUAUAAGUUUAAAAUUUAAUCUUUUUAAGUACUAAAAUAUUUUUCAAUAAUAUUUUAAUACUUUAUAUCUUUAAUUUAUUUAUUUGUCAAGUUAUUUACAUUGAUAAUUUAAUUUUCAAUUACUAUAUUUAUAAUAAUAUUUGGAUAACUUAAUUUUUAAUUACUAUAUUUAUAAUAAUAUUUGGAAAAUUAAAUAUAUCCUAUUACUUUAGAAAAAAAAAACAAUCCAGAUAGAUACUUUUAUUCUAUUACUUUAAAAAAAAAGAAUCCAGACAAUCUAUUCUUAUUAUACUAUGAUAAAUAUAUAAAAUAAAAUAAAGUAAAUAUUCAUAAAUAAAUCAAUUUACUAAUACUUAUAUUUACAAAUAUAAAUGAAAUAAAACUGAAUCUAUAAAAGUAAUUUGAGUUAAAGGUCUGACCCAUUCCAGUUCCUUUCUUCACUCCUCUGUUUACUGUUUUCACCUCUAGUCUUAUUUGGAUGAUAUUACUACGUGCACCCCUUAGUUCUAUUCUUUGCACCACCAUUUCUGUUUGUUUUUGUCGGUGCUGGGUGUGUUUUGUGUUUACUUAAUGUCACUAACACUGCACCCGUCUGAUUUUUUUUGUUGUUCUUGGACUUGAUAUUUUUUUGUGUUUACUAGCAUCAUAUUCAUUACACACAUUGCAUAUUAAUUAAUUAUUGCACCACUCAUUUUACUAUUUUGCAUGUGUAUUGAAUUUAUUUUCUAUUUUGGAUCUUACUCGUGUGAUCAUUUCAAUCUUACCUGGUGAUCAUUCUCAUCAUCCUAAUAUUUAAUAUAUUUUAUUUUAUAAAUAAAUAAAAUAUGUUUUAAUGAGUCCAUAAUUGUUUCUAAGUUUAUAUAAUACUUGUCUCUUGUUUAAGGUGUGAAUGUGUAUGAUAUUAAAAAAAAAUUUAAACCACAUUUUGAUCGUCAUAAAAAAGGAAACCAUUGGAAGAAGAGAAAAUAAUGAAGAUUAGGGUAUUUUGAUGAUAAGAAAAAUAAUUAUAAGUCCAAAAAUUCAACAUGUAAAAGAUAGUGAAAGAUUUACCAUUUACAUGUUUCAAGCUUUUAUAAUAAGUCUUAGAAAAUAUGUAUAGGAUUUAGUUUUGAGUAGUUUCAAACCACUUUGUACAAUAAGUCAAAAAAAGUUGAAAGGCGUUAAGAAUUCUAUAUGAUAAUCAAUUAAUUAGAGAAGUAAUUGAUUAUACAAAUGAUUUCAAAACUUUCGAAAACUCUUAGAAAUUAUGCCUUGAUUCUUCCGUUUAUGCAAUAAUCGAUUAUCACUUUUACAUAAUCAAUUAUUAGUGGAGUGAUAAUUGAUUAUUAGUAGCAGUUGUGGCUUGAUAGCGAAAAUUCUAGACCAAAUUCGUGAAUGAUGCUUAUAAAAAGAGGGUUAGGCUUCGUUUGGAAAUAACAUAAGUAAGAAACGAAAUACUAAAGUUUGAGUAUUCAAGAACUUUCUACGGAAAGACUUUGAAAAAUCUAGUGUGAGUAAAGUGAGAACUUUCACGAAGUGAUCUUAAGUAACUGAGUGUUGUUGUUGUUGCUAGGAGAGGUCGUUCAUCCUUUGCGUGAUUGAAAGGUGUUCAUUCAUUUUGGAUUUCAAGAAAGGUGGUUAUUCAUCUCUAGUAGGAAUCAAGAGAGUUGUCUUCAUCUCUUAUAGGAUUCAUCUCAAAGGAUGUGUUCAUCCCUUGUGGAUUUCAAGGGAUGUGUUUUUCAUCUCUUGUGGCUUCAAAGUAGGUUUUUUUUAAACCUUAAUUUUAUUAUUUGUGAUUGUUAGUUUAAGUUUAUUUUACUGAUUGGUUAAUAUCUCUUUAUAGAGACUAACAACUAAAUGUAAGUUCUUUUGACUCGAACUAGUAUAAAAAUUACUUGUGCAAAUCUCUCUUUCCCUAUAUUAUUUACUUUUCGUGUUAUUAUUUGUAAAACGAGUUUAAAAAGAGGGAACAUUUUCAAAAACACAAAUUUGUUAAAGAAACCAAUUCUCCAAACUCUUAGUUUUUGUCCAAACACAAUUAUUUCAAUGUGCGACUUUGACAAAAGAAAAUUAUAAAUAUCGACAUGACCAAAAAUGAAUCUGGCCCACUAAGAACUUAGCUCACCUAGGUUGGACUCGUGGUGAGCCGACACCCCACCCAUAGAUUCUAAAUAUUAAUAUAUAUUAAAAAAAUGAAAACCUAUGUUCUCCUAUCUUUAAAUGUAAAUUAUAUUGUGUUUUUGUCAUUUUGAUUGUAUUUGGAGUUUAACAUCACUUUAGAUUGUAUUUAGAUUUUAAUUAGAAAAAAAAUGUAAUUUCUUUUUGAAUUUAACAAAAAGAAAUUUGUAAUUGAGUCAAAACAUUUAACCUACCAACCUAUGGUGGGCCAACCAGGUUUGAAAUUUUUGUGUUUGCUAAUAAAUUAGUAGGGUUAGGUUGGCUCACUAAGUGGUUACCCCGUGGUGGGCUGAGUCGGGUUGAGUCAGGUGGUCUGUUUUGACAGCUCUAGUUUUCUAGAAUAAACUACGAUGGCGAGUCCAAAACCUAUUUUUAAAUAUGUUUCUUUCUUUAUUUGUCAUUAUGUCGUGAUUUCGAUUGUGAUAAUGUGUUAUUUGCAUACACAUUGGCUUUCCUAUCCGAAAGCCCCUCAAAUGACGAAGAACCAAUCACACUUGUCAUUAUUAUCUUAUUAAAAAUCGUAGGAGAAGAAGAAGCUCUUAAGAGAAUAAAACCACUAUUUAUAGAAAGAACCCAAGUUAACAUUCGUAGAACGCCAACCAUUGGAUCUUCUUUGAUCCAACAAUCUAAUACUAAUGAUGCUUCAUAUCAUUCUAACAUGCAUAAUUCUUUAAGUGACGUGACCUGUUAAAAAGGGGAGCCAACAAUUAUAACGGUUAAAGUAUCACAACGUUUGAAGACAUCGUAAUGAUCCAAACAAACCUCUCCAUGGCUACAUUGACAAACUGAAUGGCAAAUAAAAAUCUUCAUAUGUCAGACGGUUUAAUCUGAAUUUUGAAGAGAGGAGGGGGUGGGGGGAAGUGGAACCUUAGGAUUUUAUCAUGAUGACAUAAUUUCUCACUUAUCAUGACAAUCCACCAUUAUUGAAAGUGUUGAGUGACUAACGUCGUUGUUGAAGAUAAUGACUUCAGUAUGAAGUAACUUGUCUUCCAAGAAAAAUACUUCAACUCAAGGUCUAAUAUACAUGAUACACCAAUCAAUCUUAUUAACUUCGAAAAUGAUAUUUUAACACCAAUUUUUGACACCAUUUUGACACUGCACACAUGUCAAAAUGUGGUUGGACGAUUUCAAAUUAAAAAAAGCUGAGACAAGAGCAUAUUUGGAAGAGAAAAACCAAAGUUUCUUUUUUAAUUUGAAAUCAUCCAACUACAUUUUGACACGUGUGUAAUGUCAAAAUGGUGUCAAAAAAUUGGUGUUAAAAUAUCAUUUUCCUAUUAACUUUACGUUGGAUGACUUUAGGUCCUAUGACCGAUCGACUUUGAAGAAAGAUAAUACUGAUAAAUAACUAUAGAAUUAUUAUGAUAAACAAUAUUAAUAUGUUAUUAGACUAUUAUUAAACUGUCAUUAAGAUAAAAGGUCCAUUAAAAGAACUAUAAAUAUGUUUUAUAAGAAGACAUUUAUUAUUUUUUAAUAUACUAAAUUUAUUAAGUUAUGGUUAUAGCAUUAUUAAUUACUAGUCAGUUGGAUAAAAUCAUACAACAAGAAAAGAGAAAGUGUUAAAGAAAAGGUAAAAAAAAAGUAAACAUUGACAAAGUAAUCUAUCUCAUCCGAUGAAUAUUGAAGCAUCUUCAAUCUUACACACACACACACACACACACACACACACACACACACACACACACACACACACACACACAUAUAUAUAUAUAUAUAUAUAUAUAGAGAGAGAGAGAGAGAGAGAGGCAGCCAGGCCCAUAGAAACUAAAGGCAGCAUAGCCUUGGGAGCAGGGGCUUUUACUAAGUCUGAGUUCAUUUUAGCUAAAAUUCUCUCUUUCUCUCUCUAAAAGUUGGGUUCUUUAGAAGCUCUGCCUUCUCUUUAAACCUUGCUCCAUCUUCUCUCUACCUUUUCUCAAAUUUCUACCGUUGCUUUUUCAAAUAGGUGGUGCCCCUACAUUCUCAGAGUCGAGGGCUUCCAAUCCAUUCGAUUAGUUUCGCAUCUCUCCGCUGAUAAGGUAAAUUUCCCAUUCUCUGCACCCUAGGGUUUUACUCAUGCAAAGGUUAUACCUUGCAAGUAGCGUUCUUUUUAUUUUCCUUAUCCUAUCUAGCUCUAAAGACCGUGCUGUACUCCAAUUUGGUGGCUUGUAGGUACUGUCAAAAUUACCUAUGUGCAGAGGUACUGUUAGGGCGUUUUCUAGGAACUGUGUUGUGAGAACCAAAAGGUAAGGGGAGUGACUGAGAUGUUAUUAUUGCUUGUGUAAUGUUCUUGCUCAUCUUCUUGCUUUACUUCAAAUCUUAUUUUCCUUGUGGUUAGAUGGGGUUGCCCUUAUCAUGUUAAUUGGGUUACAUUUCAGACUUAGAAGAGAGUGAGUGUAAUAAAUAUAUAGAUGUGAGUGUGUUUCUGGUAUGUGAAUGAAUAGGGAGAAAGGAGGUUGCAUACUGAGGGGUGUAAAUCUCUUGGUAGAAUGAGAUCCGUUGCGGGUUAGUGGUAGGAAGAUAGGUUAAGGGAUACAAGGGGUAUCUAGAUAAUACUUUGUAAAGUUGUUUCUAGCGUAAGGGUUAAGGGUUUUAGUUACUGUGAGAAAGUUUUGGAAGAGAGAGUGACAGGGAAUGGAUGCUGGGAAAUUGAAAGAUUAAGAGAAAGAAGAGAGAAGGAGUUGGAUGGAUGAGAAAGUGGAAAUAAUGGGGUUGAGCCUUAGUGGUUAAAACGCAAAAUUGAAAAAGAGGGUUGUCCAUGGUUUAUUAUGCAGUGCUUACGGGAAUGUGAGUCAGGGUCUUAACAGGAAUGACCAAAAGAGUGUGAGUGUUGAAGUAUAGAGAGAUGACAAAAAGAGUGUGAGUGUUGAAGUAUAGAGAGGUGAGUGGAUUGUGGAAGUAGAGAACCAAAAGCAAAUAGAGGGAGGUUGAGUGAGUGUGUGUGAUUUUUACGUGAAGGUGAGAAAGAGAAUGGUGAUGAAUGAAAAAUAAAGAGAAGAGCUAUUGUCUGGUGUGUGAGAUGACGUAAAUCAAAAGAAUAAAAUAAGGAUGUAUAAUUAAGGCAUGGAUGAGUGGGCCAUGUGGAAUUGACAUUUAUUAUGGCAAUAUUUUAUAGUAAGAAAGAAAAGUAAAGAAGUUACACGAGUAUGAGAAAGUGAUGAUGAGUAUUUGUUAUUAUAUUAAUAGAAGAAGUAUGAUGUUGGAGAGAGAAGAUGGAUUUAUGUGAAGUGGAAAAGGAUAUGGAAAUUUUGGUGAAUUGUUAAUGCACCCACUUAAAUGAAUGAUGAUAUAUAAUAAGGUAAACAUGUUUUAUGGAGAGAGAAGAGUCUUAAGUGAGUUAGUAAGAGUGUAGGAAAUUAGGUGGGCCAUGUGGGGUCCACAUGGGUAGUUAUGUAGUUUAAUAUUAUAGUAGGUUUUGUUAUAUGAAAAAAGAGAAAUAAAAAUAUUGAUGUGGCUUUAGUCUUGACGAGAAAAGUGAGUCAUUGGGAAACUCAUGGUCAGGAGCUAUGGAUUUGUGCUCGAAGCGAAAAGAGUUUUUGGGUAAGGUAUGUCUUUGUUUUUAUGCCUAGGUUCGUGUGGGAAAGGAGUGGUGUUUCUUUUGGGGUCUCACGAGUAAUUGUCAUAAUAAUUAAAUAAUUACCCUUGUAAGUUUUGGUAGAGAAAAAGAAAUAGGACAGGUGUUGGUGAGACUGACCUGAUGAAUAACCUGUGACAAAGGCGGCUUAGUUGUAAUGAAUUUGUACAUUUGGGAUGGGUCACGUGAAGCAUUAGCUUUUAGUGUUGUAUAAUAAAAUUAAAUAAUUAUUAUGGUGUAGUAACACUUUUUGGUUGAUGAAUUACAUAUAUUAUAGAGAUUACGUGUGGAAACUAAUGAUAAUUUUGUUGUAAGCUUUGUGAUUCAGAAGAAAUGUAUAUUGCUGAGAUUAUUUGUAUGUUGAUUGUGGCAAAAUGUAUAUGAUUACAAAGUGAUGAAAUUACGAUCCAAGUGGUAAACCAAGUUCGAUCUGUGUAGAAUCUCUUGGUGAGAUUCUUAGUGUUUUAGAAUGAAAGUAGGAGCUCAGUCUUGGGGGUCUUCAUAACGCUCGAUUGGUCUUUCUUCUCACGUUGAGAGGAUUGAAUCAUGUGGUGAGGAGUAGAAGGAGGUCUUACUCUAGGAUGCUUCCAGUAUGAUCCAGGGUGCAGAACAGACUAACCUCGUGAGUGUGGCAGGGUGGGGGAGCCCAAGUAUCACAAGCCACCACGGGUGCAUGGUCCGACAUAGCUCGACUAUCAUUCUAAAGUUUGGAUGCAUCAUGUCUAGUAUCCAACAUGUUAGGAUAGAUGUUAUAUCUUGUUUGAUUUAAGUUAACUCUUGCAUGUAUAUGUUCUUAUGAUGCAUGCUUUUUAUAUAAUUAGCUCACCCUUGCUUGCUUGUGUUUGUGCCAUGUUGCGUAUAUUUUUCUUGUGCAAUGAUCAACCACUUGGAUGUGAGCAAAGGAGAAGGAGGUUUCUUUGGAGACAACUUUGGAAGGAGAUAGAGAUGUUGCAACUUAGUUUUCUAAGCUUUAUUCCAUUGAACUCAAGAUAUUUUGAAGAACUUUGUUGUAUUUCAAGUUUUAAAUUCCUAGCAUUUUGCAAGAAGACUAUAAUACUCCAAUUUUAAGUUCUCGUACUGUAAUCCUAAUUACUCUUGACUGCUUUCCUUUAUUAUGCAUGAUGACGUCUUUAUUAUAUAUGUCUUCUCUAUAUAAUUCGGAUGUCACAUUUAUGGUAUCAGAGCAGUUUUUGUCCUUAGGAAAUUCUAUAGGUUGCGUGUGCGCCUUGCUUUUGCUUGUGUACUCUUAGCAUAUCUAGGCAAUUGUUUCUGCCUCUUUGAAUUUGAUUGAUGGUCUCUCUUCUCUGUGUAAACAGAACAUUGGCGCCUAGGCCUCCUCCACCUCCUCCUCCUCAGUCUUAGGCUUCAAAGAAUACUCUCCAACUAGAGGCUGAGCUUGAGGCGAUGCAGCAACAAAAUGCUGCCUUGGUGCAACAAACCACCAUUGCUCUACAAAAUUUAGAAGCUGCAAGGGUGGCCACUGAGAGUGCAAGGGUGUCAGCAGACAAUGCAAGGAUAGAGACUGAUAACACCCAAAGGAAACUCAUGGAGAUGCUGGCUAGAGGUGUACCCACUCCCGGUACUUCCUCUUCUGUUGUUCCAGCUCAGGAGUGGACUUUGGAGAGCUUUCUCCAACACCAUCCCGCCAGGUUUACUGGAAAAUGCAGCCCUGAUGAGGCUGACCACUGGUUCCAAGACAUGGAACGAAUUUAUGAGGCGAAAGGAUGUCCAAACGAGAAGAAGCUGGCCUACACUCAGUACUUGCUAACAAGAGAGGCUGGCCACUAGUGGAAUAGUAUGAAGAUGAUCCUGGAGAGGAACAGGACUCCUAUCACUUGGGAUUUGUUCAAAACUAAAUUAUACACUGAAUACUUCACAAAUAGCGUCAGGUUUGCUAAGGAGGUAGAAUUUCUUGAGUUGGCACAGUGCAACAGAUCGGUGUCGGAGUAUGCAGACCGUUUUAAACAUCUGCUUCGCUUCAACACCAUGACGGUAGAUGAAGAAUGAUAGUAUCGAAAGUUUGAGAAUGGAUUAAGGAAAGAUAUAAAGUUGGUGGUGAAGGUUUUGCGCAUUAGGGACUUCUCCGCUUUAGUGGAGAUGGCUCGUGAUAUGGAGAAGACUAAGGGAGAUCUAGUGGGGCCUCAGAGACAGCAGAGCUUACCACUGAGGGUUGGUGAACCAGUGGUGUCCAGAGGUGGCUCCAGUUCUAGGAGGACCCCUUUUUCUAGACUUAAUUCCUUUGGGUCCAGGGGUUCUUCCUCUCAGUCAUCGGGGUAGUCCAGCUUUGCUAGCCCUAUGAGAUGCUUCAGAUGUGGAGGACCUCACUUCCAGGUUGUCUGUCCUCAGCUAGAAGGGUAUAAGAGAUGCAACAUUUGUAAGCGCAAGGGACACUAUGCUAGAGAUUGUCCUACUACCAGGAGGGCUGGACCGUAGCCACGCCAAGCUAGGAGAGCCAUUUAGAGACGGGUGUCAGACCACAGGCUGCAAGGAGAGUUUAUGCUUUGACCGGAGCUGAGGCAGCCAAUGCAGGUAAUUUGAUUGUCAGCAGUUGCUUGUUAUUUGGAUCUUCGUGUGUGACAUUGUUUGACUUGGGGGCGACACAUCUUUUGUGUCUGAGGCUUGUGUGGAGAGGCUUGGUCUAGUUGCCAGAGAGUUUCCAUGUGAUCUAGUGGUAUCUACACCAGCAGCUGGGUUGGUUAGGACAUCUAAUGUGUGCUCCAGAUGUUCUAUUGAGGUAGAGGGACGCAGGUUCAGGGUGAACCUUAUUUGUUUACCUCUAUAGGGGCUACAGGUAAUCCUAGGCAUGGAUUGGUUAUCCGCCAAUCGUAUUCUUCUAGGUUGCGGGGGAAAGAAGUUUAUAUUCCCUAAUGGAGACAAGAACAUGCCCUUGUCACUGGGUGUGUUGAGACAAGAUCUUAUAGAGGGCGCUCGCUGUUUCCCGAUCAUGUCUUACAUGGACGUUGUUCAGGACUCAAACCCUUCAGCUCCUAGAAAUCAGAGUGUAGAUCUUCUGGUUGUGAAUGAUUUCUUGGACGUAUUCCCUGAGGAAGUUCCAAGUCUACCUCCUUCGAGAGAGGUAGAGUUCUCUAUAGACUUGGUCUCAGGAGCAGGGCCAAUUUCUAUAGCCCCUUAUAGGAUGGCUACGGCAGAACUAGUGAAAUUGAAGAAACAGAUUGAGGAGCUGCUUGAGAAGCAAUUUAUAAGGCCUAAUGUGUCACCAUGGGGUGCACCGGUUUUACUAGUAAAGAAGAGAGAUGGCAGUUCAAGACUAUGUGUUUAUUACCGACAGCUAAACAAGCUCGCUAUCAAGAACAAGUAUCCUUUGUCAAUGAUAGAUGACUUGAUGGAUCAGCUACACGGAGCUACACUUGUUCUCCAAGAUAGACCUACGGUCAGGUUAUCACCAAAUCUUAGUAAAGGCUGAUGAUGUGCAAAACACAACUUUUAGAUCCAGAUAUGGCCAUUACAAGUAUGUAGUUAUGCCUUUUGGUGUGACUAAUGCUCCAUCUAUCUUCAUGGAUUACAUGAUUAGGAUAUUCAUACUUUCUUGGAUAAAUUUGUGGUUGCCUUCAUCGAUGACAUCAUGAUUUAUUCUAUGACUCGGGAAGAACACGAAGAUCACCUUCGGACAAUUCUUGAAGUAUUAAGGGAGAGAAAGUUAUAUGCAAACUUGUCCAAAUGCGAAUUUUGGAUGGAAGAAGUACACUUCUUAGGACAUGUUAUCUCGGCUGGUGGGAUUGUUGUUGACCAAGCCAAGGUACAAGCAGUGAUGGAGUGGGAAAGACCUAAGAAUGUUACAGAGGUCAUGAACUUUAUGGGCUUAGCGAGCUCCUAUCGCUGUUUUAUUGAGAACUUUGUACGGAUUAUAGCGCCAUUGACACAACUGACCAGGAAGGAUCAACCUUUUGUUUGGACUAAUAGGUGUGAAAUUAACUUCCAAGAGCUAAAGCAAAAGUUGACGAGUGCACCGGUGUUGAUUACUCCUGACACAGGGAAACCCUUUGAGGUUUACUGUGAUGCCUCUUACCAGGAUUGGGGUGGGUGGUGAUGCAGGUGAUGAAGGUUGAAAAACAGUGAUUUUCAUAUGUCAAUUUGGACCAAAUUACACCCUUUACUACUCGGAAUGAGCUCAGAAUCAAGCAAAACUCAAUAAAUGAGUCUNGAGAGAGUCAAAAGUUGUUUUUAGCGAUUUUGUGCUUAUUUUGCAUUGUUUUGUAGCUAAUUUGAGAAAAGUAAGAAUGGAGUUGAAGAUACAGGUCGUUGACUCAAGAAAAGAGCAGAAAAAAUGAAGUUUUGAAUAGUCGACGUACCGCCCAGCGGCACACUUAAACCGUUGGGCGGUCCAGGACGAGGAGUAGACAUGGAAAAUGUCACUGAGGGAAACCGUCGGCGCCAGCGAUUGCCGUCGGGCGGCGACAGAAGGAUAUGGGAAACCGCCGGGCGGUGGCGAUUGCCGUCGGGCGGUGGCGGCAGGUUAUGGGAAACCCCCGGGCGGCACACUUAAACCGCUCAGCGGUGGCUCGCUGGACUUGGGCCUGAUUUUGACGUUUUCCUCACCUAUAUAUACCCCUACUACGAAUUCAGAGUCAUUCUUUUGACAGGGGAGAAAGGCCAGACCUAAUUUUGCUCUCUGGAGAGGAUCUCUUGGAUGCUUAGGCUCCUUUUCAUCUUUUCUAGGGUUUUCUCUUCCAUUCUUCUUCCAUUUUUCAUCUAGUUUCACCAUGUCUAUGGUGAACUAAACCUUAUUGUUGUUGGGGAAAACAAUGUAAUAUUUUGAUGCUCUCUCUUAUUGAAACUAUUGAAUAUUUAUAUGGUCUCCAUAUGUUUUGAUUGAUUAUUGUUGGGUUAUCAUCUGUGCUUAAGGCCUUUAUCGUUUAACUCAUUCGGUAUAUUGAUGUUUGUCGUUAUUGAUAUGGGGACGUACAGUAAUGACAUGAACUGGUGAGUAAUCUCUUGAUUUUGCAAUACCACCUAGGGAUAGGGGUAGGACGACCAAUUGCGCUAACUUCUGUUUAUAAUGCAGUAUUAAUUUCUUCUCACGUUGAGAGGAUUGAAUCAUGUGGUGAGGAGUAGAAGGAGGUCUUACUCUAGGAUGCUUCCAGUAUGAUCCAGGGUGCAGAACAGACUAACCUCGUGAGUGUGGCAGGGUGGGGGAGCCCAAGUAUCAGCAAUACCACCUAGGGAUAGGGGUAGGACGACCAAUUGCGCUAACUUCUGUUUAUAAUGCAGUAUUAAUUACUAGGGGAGGCUAGGGAUAGCAAGCCAGUAGUUAAUAUUAGGCCCUUUUCGCCGAGGGAUCGGGUUAAGGGUAGGCUAAGAAAGUCGCAUAACAAUUGAAUCAAUAUGAUAUUCAAGGGUAGUAUGUAAGAGAGAGCGGGAUAGAUGAAAUUGUUAGUACCCAACAACAUUCAUUCAUCCAUUGUUUUCGCUUGUCAAUUGAAUCAACCUUUAUUUUGCAUGUUAAUACUUUUGCUCUCAAACCCAAUUUAUAAAUUUUAAUUUCUCAAGUCUUAUUAUUUUAAUUCACGCGAACGAGGAAGCCAUACGAGUCUCUUGGGAAACGAUACUUGGUCUUACCAUUUAUAUUACUUGUACGAUUUGGUACACUUGCCAAUUUGUCAACAGCAGGAGAAGAGAGUAGUCGCUUAUGCCUCGAGACAACUCAAAGUACAUGAGAAGAAUUACCCCACUCAUGACGUAGAGUUAGCCGUAGUCGUGUUUGCUUUGAAGAUGUGGAGGCAUUAUCUCUAUGGUGCGCAGUUUCAAGUGUUCAGUGACCAUAAAAGUCUUAAGUAUUUGUUUCAUCAGAAAGAGUGAAACAUGAGGCAAAGGAGAUGGAUGGAAUUCCUCAAACACUAUGAUUUUGAACUCUUACACCACCUUGGGAAAGCUAAUGUGGUAGCAAACGCAUUGAGUAGGAAGUCGGUCCAUGUUUCUUGCUUAAUGGUUAAGGAAUUGGAGCUAGUGGAAAGCUUUAGAGACUUGAGAUUACAAGUUGAGUUAGAGCCUGACAGCAUCAGAUGCAGUAAGUUGGUGGUGUCCAGUAGCUUGAUAGAGCGUAUUAAAGAAGGAUAAUUGUUAGACCCCGACCUUCAGACAUCCACAGCUUUAAUUGGCACUGGAAAAGGGAAGGACUUCAACAUAGGGAUGGAUGGUCUCUUACGGUUCAGAGGUAUAACGUGUGUCCCCAAUGAUGGAGAAUUAAAAAGGUUAAUACUUGAGGAGGGACACCGUAGUCGUUUUAGCAUACACCCAGGUAUGACUAAAAUGUACCAAGACCUUAAGAAGUCAUUGUGGUGGUCUGGUAUGAAGAAAGAUGUGGACCAGUUUGUUGCUUCUUGCUUGACAUGUCAGAAAGCUAAGGUAGAGCGUCAGAGACCUGGAGGUCUAUUGCAGCAAUUGGAGGUUCCCGAGUGGAAAUGGGAUAGCAUAGUCAUGGACUUUGUUACCCAUUUGCCACGCACUGUUAGGAGGCACGAUGUUAUAUGGGUGAUUGUGGACAGGUUGACCAAGAGUGCUCACUUUUUGGCAAUCGAUUUGAGAAUGUUUAUGGAAAAGCUGGCACAACUAUACAUUAAGGAGAUUGUGAGACUUCAUGGAGUAUCUUCCAGUAUUAUGUUAGACAGAGACCCGAGGUUUACUUCCAGGUUUUUGCAAACACUACAGAGUGAGAUUGGUAGUAGACUACAAAUGAGCUCUGCUUAUCAUCCCCAGACCGAUGGACAGUCUGAGAGGAUAAUCUAGAUGCUGGAAGACUUGUUGAGGACAUGUGUCCUGGACCACUUGGGAGUCUGGGAUGAGGUGCUACCGUUGAAUGAGUUCACUUAUAACAUCAGCUACCAAGCCAGUAUUGGCAUGGCGCCGUUUGAGGCCUUGUAUGGGAGGCGCUGCAGAACUCCCUUGUGUUGGUUCCAAGAUGGAGAGGCAGUGUUGAUAGGGCCAGAGCUAGUACAACAGACCACGAAAGUGCAACCAGUUAGAGUUGAGGAAAGCCAGACCAAAAAGCUUAGAGGGAAGACUGUCAGACUCGUCAAGGUCAUUUGGAAUGGUAGAACAGGUGACUCUACCUGGGAGCUAGAGGAAGAGAUGUGGGAGUCCUAUCCUCACCUAUUCACUGCUAAGUUUAAUUUUCAGGGACGAAAAUUUUUAUUUGUUAAGGAGAAUGUAAGGGCCAAAGAAAUUUUAAAACCAUUGGGCCUUAAGUGAGGCAGCCAGGCCCAUAGAAAUUAAAGGCAACAUAGCCUUGGGGGUAGGGACUUUUACUAAGUCUGAGUUCAUUUUAGCUAAAACUCUCUCUCUCUCUAAAAGUUGGUUUCUUUAGAAGCUUUGCCUUCUCUCUAAACCUUGCUCCAUCUUCUCUUUACCUUUUCUCAAAUUUCUACCGUGGCUUUUCAAAUAGGUGGUGCCCCUACGUUUCUAGAGUGGAGGGCUUCCAAUCCAUUCGAUUAGUUUCGCGUCUCUCCGCUGAUAAGGUAAAUUUCCCAUUCUCUGCACCCUAGGGUUUUACUCAUGCAAAAGUUCUACCUUGCAAGUAGCGUUAUUUUUAUUUUCCUUAUCCUAUCUAGCUCCAAAGACUGUGCUCUACUCCAAUUUGGUGGCUUGUAGGUACUAUCGAAAUUACCUCUGUGCGGAGGUACUGUUAGGGCGUUUUCUAGGAACUGUGUUGUGAGAACCAAAAGGUAAAGGGGAGUGACUGAGAUGUUAUUAUUGCUUGUGUAAUGUUCUUGCUUAUCUUCUUGCUUUACUUUGAAUCUUAUUUUCCUUGUGGUUAGAUGGGGUUUCCCUUAUCAUGUUAAUUGGGUUACAUUUCGGACUUAGAAGAGAGUGAGUGUAAUAAAUAUAUAGAUGUGUGCGUGUUUCUGGUAUGUGAAUGAAUAGGGAGAAAGGAGGUUGCAUACCGAGCGGUGUAACUCUCUUGGUAGAAUGAGAUUCGUUGCAGGUUAGUGGUAGGAAGAUAGGUUAAGGGAUACAAGGGGUAUCUAGAUAAUAUUUUGUAGCGUUGUUUCUAGCGUAAGGGUUAAGGGUUUUAGUUACUGUGAGAAAGUUUUGGAAGAGAGAGUGACAGGGAAUGGAGCUAGGAAAUUGAAAGAUUAAGAGAAAGAAGAGAGAAGGAGGUGGAUGGAUGAGAAAGUGGAAAUAAUGGGGUUGAGCCUUAGUGGUUAAAACGCAAAAUAGAAAAAAAGGGUUGUGCAUGGUUUAUUAUGUAGUGCUUACGGGAAUGUGAGUCAGGGUCUUAACGGGAAUGACCAAAAGAGUGUGAGUGUUGAAGUAUAGAGAGGUGAGUGGAUUGUGGAAGUAGAGAACCAAAAGUAAAUAAAGGGAGGUUGAGUGAGUGUGUGUGAUGUUAACGUGAAGGUGAGAAAGAGAAUGGUGAUGAACGAAAAAUAAAGAGAAGAGUUAUUGUCUGGUGUGUGAGAUGACGUAAAUCAAGAGAAUAAAAUGGGGAUGUAUAAUUAAGGCAUGGAUGAGUGGGCCAUAUGGAAUUGACAUUUAUUAUGGUAGUAUUUUAUAGUAAGAAAGUAAAGUAAAGAAGUUACACGCGUAUGAGAAAGUGAUGAUGUGUAUUGGUUACUAUAUUAAUAGAAGAAGUAUGAUAUUGGACAGAAGAUGGAUUUACGUGAAGUGGAAAAGGAUAUGAAAAUUUUGGUGACUUGUUGAUGGACCCACUUGAAUGAAUGAUGAUAUAUAAUAAGGUAAACAUGUUUUUUUGGAGAGAGAAGAGUCUUACGUGAGUUAGUAAGAGUGUAGGAAAUUAGGUGGGCCAUGUGGGGUCCAUAUGGGUAGUUAUAUAGUUUAAUAUUAAAAUAGGUUUUGUUAUAGGAAAACGGAGAAAUAAAAAUAUUGAUGUGGCUUUAGUCUUGACGAGAAAAGUGAGUCAUUGGGAAACUCAUGGUCAGGAGCUAUGGAUUUGUGCUCGAAGCGAAAAGAGUUUUUGGGUAAGGUAUGUCUUUGUUUUUAUGCCUAGAUUCGUGUGGGAAAGGAGUGGUAUUUCUUUUGGGGUCUCACGAGUAAUUGUCAUAAUAAUUAAAUAAUUACCCUUGUAAGUUUUGGUAGAGAAAAAGGAAUAAGACAAGUGUUGAUGAGGAUUGACCUGAUGAACAACAUGUUACAAGGGUUGCUUAGUUGUAAUGAAUUUGCACAUUUGGGAUGGGUCACAUGAAGCAUUAGCUUUUAGUGUUGUAUAAUUAAAUUAAAUAAUUAUUAUGGUGUAGUAACACUUUUUGGCUGAUGAAUUACAUAUAUUAUAGAGAUUAUGUGUGGAAACUAAUGAUAAUUGUUUUGUAAGCUUUGUGAUUGGGAAGAAAUGUAUAUUGCUGAGAUUAUGUAUAUGUUGAUUUUGGCAAAAAGUAUAUGAUUACAAAGUGAUGAAAUUACGAUCCACGUGGUAAACCAAGUUUCAUCUGUGUAGAAUUUCUUGGUGAGAUUCUUAGUGUUUUAGAAUGAAAGUAUAUUACUGAAAUUAUGUAUAUAUUGAUUUUGGCAAAAAGUAUAUGAUUACAAAGUGAUGAAAAUACGAUCCACGUGGUAAACCAAGUUUCAUCUGUGUAGAAUCUCUUGGUGAGAUUCUUAGUGUUUUAGAAUGAAAGUAGGAGCUCAGUCUUGAGGGUCUUCCUAACGCUCCAAUGGUCUUUCUUUUCACGUAGAGAGUACUGAACCAUGUGGUGAGGAGUAGUAGGAGGUCUUAGUCUUGGAGGCUUCUAGUGUGCUCCAGGGUUUGGGACAGACUAACCUUGUGAGUGUGGCAGGGUGGGGAAGCCCAAGUAUCACAAGCCACCACGGGUGCAUGGUCCGCCAUAGCUCAACUAUCAUUCUAAAGUCCGGACGCAUCAUGUCUAGUAUCCAACAUGCUAGGAUGGAUGUUUUAUCUUGUUUGAUUUAAGUUAACUCUUGUAUGUAUAUGUUCUCAUGAUGCAUGCUUUUUAUAUAAUUAGCUCACCCUUGCUUGCUUGUGAUUGUGCCAUGUUGCGUAUGUUUUUCUUGUGCAAUGAUCACCCACUUAGAUGUGAGCAGAGGAGAAUGAGGUUUCUUUGGAGACAGCUUUGGAAGGAGAUAAAGAUGCUGCGACUUAGUUUUCUACGCUUUAUUCCAUUGAACUCAAGAUAUUUUGAAGAACUUUGUUGUAUUUCAAGUUUUAAAUUCCUAGCAUUUUGCAGGAGGACUAUAAUACUCCAGUUUUAAGUUCCCGUAUUGUUUAAGGAUGACUAUAAUCCUAAUUACUCUUGACUGUUUUCCUUUAUUAUGCAUGAUGACGUCUUUAUUAUAUAUGUCUUCUCUAUAUAACUGGGAUGUCACAUAUAUGAUGUACGGUAGUAUAUCUCUGACGUUCGGUCUGCUAAACCGAGCGGCCAAGCUUGCUAAUCAAAUGGGCCGAAUCAUCUUUAUGGUCUAGCUCUAUUGGGCCCGAAGCCCAUCAUCUCGCAAAUACAAAUAAAUGAACAAUAUCAUAUAUCACGUAUCAAACAAUAUCUCAGUAGAGAUAUAUCAGGUAAGUUUGUUUAUAUUUUAUUUUGUUUAUAUUUUAUUUUGUUCUUAACAUCAUAUCAAUCCAAAGCCUAUAAAUAAAGAACAAAAGGCUCUAAACAAGGUACGCUCAUAUUCUCUCACACUCAUACUUUCACUCCUGACUGAGUAUCAACCCUCUCCCCAUUCUAAGCAUCAACUUGCUGAGGAUCGAGGGUCUUCCUACACCGACAUCUAACUUGUUCGUCGGAGUGCCUUUACUGGUACCCCCCCUCUCGGGUGAAGGUUGGAACUUGACGGACGGUCUGAAGAACGGACGACGAAGGUAUUUGAAGAUCUUGCACCGGAAAGAAGCAGAAUCGCGUCAUCGAGGUUAGUACUUUCGGUCCCAGAAAUUCUUACCGAAACAUUUUGGCACCCACCGUGGGGCCUAAAGUGAAAACUCCCUAUGGUGACCACCAGAAGCAUGGACGGUAUUGAUCAUACAGAACUCAUAAGGUGGCUUCAGACCCAACUGGAGGAAUAGACUCAGAUGAUUCGCCAACAACAAGAAGCACACUAGAAACUUGUUGAAGAGAUGGCCCGACUUAAAGAAAAACGACCGGAGAUGACGGAAGACAACAACCAUACUGGCGGCCACAACGACGGUCACAAUAGUGGCCGGAACGACGAUCCCCAUGACGACAGCGGUCGCCUUCCGCGAUCGCCUGAAUUACUACCUUUCACUGAAGUGAUUAUGCAGGCUAUAAUGCCCAAUCGACCUCCCCCUCAGAUUGAAAAAUUUGACGGAACAACGGACCCCGAACACCAUCUCCGGAAUUUCGUCGACUCCAUGGCUUUCUAUUCCAAAAGCGAUCCAAUCAAGUGCAGGGCUUUCUCCUUGUCCCUAAAAGACGAAGCCCUAGAAUGGUACUACACUCUUCCUCCGAAUUCUAUUGACAGUUUUCAUAUUGUCACCACUCUAUUCAAAAGCCAAUUUUCAGCCAACCGGAGGGAGAAGGUGUCAGCUGCCAAACUCGUCAAUCUCAAACAAGGGAAAGACGAGCCGUUAAGGACAUUCAUGCGUAGAUAUUCUGAAGCGGCGAGAAGAGUGAAAGGUGUCACCCAUGAGUUCAUCAUCAACAACCUACCCAACUGUCUCAAACCGGGGUUUGUCUCGGAGAGCCUAUACGCUGAAUUACCGAAGACUAUGGAGGAAUUACAGGAGAAAAUGACCAAAUUCAUCAAAAUGGAAGAUCAACGACACUACCGCAAGAAAGUUGAGGCCCCCAUAACUGAAGCUAAAUGCGAGGACCAGCGAUGCAUGAUAAAGGUCAUAAUCAGAGGCCCCCCCGAAGAGGGCUUCCAGUUCCGCUCGGUCCUCGCUACAACCACUAUGCACAUCUCACUGUUCCGAGGGAGAAAGUGUUUGAAAAAGCCCUCCAAACUAACUUGAUUACCGUUCACAGACAACGCUCGCCCAGGGAUGCGGAUGGCUCUAAAACUUGUCGGUUUCAUGACAACCGAGGACAUUCCACAGAAGGAUGUCAAGGCCUCAAAGACGAAAUCGAAAGAUUAAUCCGUGCCGGAUAUCUGCGGGAAUUUGUUAAAGCAGAAACGAAUCAACGAGGGCGCUCGCCCAAAAAGAUAAGGAGAAGCCCCGAACCUUCACGCCGAAAGACCGAACGCUCCCGAGGGCGCUCGAGAAACAGAUCUAGAAAGCAAGAUACGACCCCGAGAGGUCGCAUAGACACCAUCUCCGGAGGUUUUGCUGGGGGCGGAGCCUCAUCCUCGGCCCGCAAAAGGCACUUGCGGAACUUGCGUAGCGUCCACACAAUAGUUCGAAAUCCCUUAUCAAUGCUGGACAUCACCUUUACCGACAGGGAUUUUCAUGCCCCAGACCCAGAACAGGAUGAUACUAUGGUCAUUACAGCCCGAAUAGCGCAGUAUGACGUGAGCAAAGUUCUGAUAGACCAGGGAAGUUCGGUUAACAUUUUAUACUGGACAACAUUCCAGAAGAUGGAGCUGACAGAGGAUGCGAUAACACCCUUUCACGAACAGAUCGUUGGAUUCGCAAGGGAACGUGUUGACACCCGGGGAUACCUCGACCUGAGGACCCGCUUGGGCACCGGUGACAAGUCCAGAGAAAUUCGUGUGCGCUUCCUGCUGGUCGAAGCCAACACUUCAUAUAACGCUUUUCUAGGGCGUCCCUGCCUAAACGCUUUCGGAGCGAUUGUAUCGACUCCUCAUUUGGCGAUGAAGUUCCCGUCCGAAAGCGGCGAAAUAUGCACCGUUCGAGCAGAUCAGAAAACCGUUCGGCAAUGUUACACCGCUUCCUUAAAAGCCACAACUUACAGAAAAGAGAGAAGACCUGAAGCUAUCCUGGUUGACGUAGACCCUAGAACCAACACAGAUGAUCGGAUUCAACCCAGGGAGAGAUUAAACCGUUUGUCCUGGGGAAGAAUGUCGAGCAAACUACUAACAUAGGGGCUGAUCUCACUCCCGUCGAAGAGAACAACCUAACAACACUACUGCGGUCCAAUAAUCAACUCUUUGCGUGGAGCGCCUCAGACAUGCCAGGGAUCCAUCCCAGCGUUAUCACACAUAAGUUAUCCAUAUUUCGAGAAGCUCGACCAAUAACACAAAAGAAGAGAAGGCUUGGCACCGAAAAAAGGGUGGCCGUACAGAAGGAGGUUGACAAACUGGUCAAGGCUGGAUUCAUCCGGGAGAUAACGUACACCACUUGGUUGGCGAAUGUGGUCAUGGUGAAAAAGGCGAACGGUCAGUGGCGAAUGUGUGUAGAUUUUACUGAUGUCAACAAAGCUUGUCCCAAGGACAACUACGCCCUUCCCAGCAUUGAUCGACUUGUAGAUGACGCCUCUGGACAUAUUGUCCUCAGUUUUCUAGACGCAUACUCCGGGUAUAACCAGAUUCCGAUGUAUGCUCCCGACCGAGAUAACACGGCUUUCAUCACUGAACAAGUCAAUUACUGCUACAAGGUAAUGCCAUUUGGCUUGAAAAAUGCAGGCACAACUUAUCAGAGACUCAUGGAUAAAAUCUUCCACAAUCAAAUUGGGCGAUGCAUGGAGGUUUACGUGGAUGACAUGAUGGUAAGAAGUUGUUCCCAUCAACAACACUUGAAGGAUCUAGCAGAAGUCUUCCACUAACUCAAACAAUACGGAUUACGCCUGAAUCCGUCCAAAUGCACGUUUGGGGUGUCAGCUGGUAAAUUCCUAGGUUUUAUGUUAACAAAUCCAGGAAUUGAGGCCAACCCGGAUAAAUGCCGAGCAAUCCUGGAGAUGAGAAGUCUAACCAAGUUGAAAGAGGUUCAAUGUUUAGUCGGACGCCUCACCGCUCUAUCACGGUUUAUACCAAAGCUCUCCGAUCAUAUCAAACCGAUACUCAAAAACAUGAAGACAAAUGUCCCUCGACAUUGGGACGAUCACUGUGAGGAGGCCUUCUCCGCCGUAAAGAACAUAUUGACCAAUCCGCCCAUCAUGAGCCGUCCGACAAAAGGGUUUGACUUACAAUUAUAUCUGUCCGCAUCCAGCCAUUCGGUAAGUGCCGCCCUUAUUCAAGAGGCACUGAUCUUUAAGCUCAUUUAUUUUAUUACCAGAACCUUGCAGGGGGCCGAGGAACGAUACUCUCAGGUGGAGAAAGUAGCAUUGGCUCUACUAACAGUGGCAAGACGGCUCCGCCCAUACUUUCAAAGCCACCGAGUUAUUAUCCGAACGAAUCAUCCGAUCGCCAGGAUUCUCAGGAAACCGGACCUAGCAGGAAGGAUGGUCUCCUGGUCCGUCAAAUUAUCUAAAUUCGGCUUGCGUUUUGAACCACAGGGCUCCAUCAAGGGCCAGCACUUAGCAGAUUUCGCAGCAGAACUACCCCCGACGACAGAACCGUCCUUGUGGAAUUUGAACGUAGACGGAUCCUCAGAAAAAAAAGGAGGAGGAGCCGGUAUAGUACUGGAGGGACCGAACGGUCUUCUUGUCGAGCAAGCAAUAUCCUUCACAUUCCAGCUUAGUAACAAUCAAGCAAAAUACGAAGCCCUAAUCAACGGACUACUCUUGGCCGCCGAGCUGGACAUUGAACACUUAGAAUGCCGAAUGGAUUCCCAACUAGUUGUGGGGCACAUUAACGGAACCUUCCAGGUCAAGGACAAUCAUUUACUACGUUACUAUCACAAAGUCAGCGACCUCAUUAAAGCGUUCGCCACUUUCAAAAUCACCCAUGUACCCAGGGCGUAAAAUUCCCGAGCGGAUUUACUUUCCAAGCUGACACAUGCCCGAGGAAACUCCUAACUCACUUCAGUAAUCAAAACCACGCUGGAACAACCUCUUUUAGAAACCUGCUCUACCAACGUCAUUCCUUCCAAGGCUGACUGGCAGCAAGAUAUAAUACAGUUGAUGAUUCAGCAAGAACAUGGUACACAGGUAAGUGCGGCCGAUUCCAAACGAAUCGCUCGUUUUACAUUGAUAGGAGAUGAUCUCUACCGACGUGGAUACACUACUCCUCUAUUGAAGUGUUUGUCUGGCGAAGAAGCCAAGUACGUUAUGCAAGAACUACAUCAUGGCAUUUGUGGCUCUCACUCAGGUAAAAGAACGCUUAGAGCCAAAAUAUUACGAGCGGGUUUUUACUGGCCCACAAUUGAACAAGAUUGCAAAUAGUUCGUUCAAAAGUGCAUCUCCUGCUAGUCCCAUGGACAUGACACUUGGAUUCCUCCGGCCGAACUGAUGGGCAUCAUAUCUCCAUGGCCCUUUGCUCAAUGGGGAAUGGAUAUUGUCGGACCCCUACCGCUCGCAAAAGGACAGUGCAAAUAUCUCCUUGUGGCAAUCGACUACUUUACCAAGUGGAUCGAAGCAAAAGCCCUUGCAACAAUCAGCGCCCGAAAAGUACAAAGCUUCAUAUGGCACUUGAUAUGCCGAUUCGGUAUACCACAGAGAAUCAUUACUGAUAACGGUCAGCAAUUUAUCGACCGUACGCUGGAAGACUUUCUCAAGGGACUUGGAAUCAAACAUGUUACAAGUUCAGUAGAACACCCCCAAACGAACGGACAGGCCGAAGCUGCGAACAAAGCCAUAAUCUCCAAGUUGAAAAAGCGCCUAGGGCAAGCCAAAAGCUUGUGGGUCGAAGAAUUGCCUAAAGUACUUUGGGCUUACAGAUGCACACCGCACAGAUCUACAGGUGAGACCCCCUUCAAUCUCACAUAUGGCACUGAUGUUAUGUUACCGGUCGAGGUGGGGGAACCAUCCCUUCGCCAGUAUAUACAAGAUAUGACUCUCAAUGAUGAACAACUGAGGUUGAACCUCGACACCCUACCCGAAAGGCGCGAGAUUGCCCUGAUCAAGAAUGAAGCUCAGAAACGACUGAUUAUCAGGCGUUAUAAUACCAAAGUGAAACACCGCAAUUUCACCGAAGGCGAUCUUAAGCGGGGUGAUGCACGGAAAAAUAAGGCACAUGGAAAGUUGGCUGACAACUGGGAAGGACCUUUCCGAAUCAGCGAAGAUUUGAAGAACGGAGCAUAUCGACUGGAAUACCUGGACAGAAAAGUUGUUCCUAACACUUGAAACGUCACCCAUCUCAAAUUUUACUAUAGUUAAAGUUUUGUUAUAUUUCCAUUCAUUGUCCUUCCAGGAACAAUUUUCUCUUUCAGAAUUAUUUCAAUGAAGUAUUCCAGCUCCAUAUCUUGUGUACUAUUUGUCAAACACGCACAACACUAGACCGACCGCGUCUAGCUACCUCAAGAUCGACCGCGUCUUGACACCUCAUGGACCAUAACGUCCAUCAACACACUAGACCAACCGUGUCUAGUUACCUCAAGACCGACCACGUCUUGACACCUNNNNNNNNNNNNNNNNNNNNNNNNNNNNNNNNNNNNNNNNNNNNNNNNNNNNNNNNNNNNNNNNNNNNNNNNNNNNNNNNNNNNNNNNNNNNNNNNNNNNNNNNNNNNNNNNNNNNNNNNNNNNNNNNNNNNNNNNNNNNNNNNNNNNNNNNNNNNNNNNNNNNNNNNNNNNNNNNNNNNNNNNNNNNNNNNNNNNNNNNNNNNNNNNNNNNNNNNNNNNNNNNNNNNNNNNNNNNNNNNNNNNNNNNNNNNNNNNNNNNNNNNNNNNNNNNNNNNNNNNNNNNNNNNNNNNNNNNNNNNNNNNNNNNNNNNNNNNNNNNNNNNNNNNNNNNNNNNNNNNNNNNNNNNNNNNNNNNNNNNNNNNNNNNNNNNNNNNNNNNNNNNNNNNNNNNNNNNNNNNNNNNNNNNNNNNNNNNNNNNNNNNNNNNNNNNNNNNNNNNNNNNNNNNNNNNNNNNNNNNNNNNNNNNNNNNNNNNNNNNNNNNNNNNNNNNNNNNNNNNNNNNNNNNNNNNNNNNNNNNNNNNNNNNNNNNNNNNNNNNNNNNNNNNNNNNNNNNNNNNNNNNNNNNNNNNNNNNNNNNNNNNNNNNNNACCGCGUCUUGACACCUCAUGGACCAUAACGUCCAUCAACACACUAGACCGACCGUGUCUAGUUACCUCAAGACCAACCGCGUCUUAACACCUCAUGGACCAUAACAUCCGCCAACACACUAGAUCGACCGUGUCUAGUUACCUCAAGACCGACCGCGUCUUAACACCUCAUGGGUCAUUACGUCCAUCACCACACUAGACCGACCGCGUCUAGUUACCUCAAGACCGAACGCGUCUUGACGACUUAUAGACAAUCACGCCCAUCUAUACAAAACGCUAGAUCGACCGUGUCUAGACACUUCGCAGCCACAACUGAAUAAGUCUCGACGACUCAAGUAUAAAUCAUCUAAAAGAUUUGACGAACAAGAAGUAUAAGCAUACAAGAAGCAUUCACAACUCUAUCAAACAAAAGGACUAAAGCAUUCGAUGCAACAAUUUGAGCAGAUAAACUUCUACAAAUAUAAAGGGUACAUCGACGAUUAAAUCAUUCAAAGAAAACGUAAUGUUCAACAAACUUUCAAAGUCAUUAUAGAAGUUUAAUAAAGUUCUAGAAAUGCCAACAUAAAGUUGCUAAGAUAUCAGGCUCCCACAUCGGCCUCCUUUCCCUUCUCGGUUUCUUCCAUCGUAGUUUCUACGGCCGGAUCACCUUCAGCUGUAUAAGCGUCUUCGGAAAUAUCAUCAAUUGACAUCAGACACCCUUCAUAUAUGUCUUGGCCAAUAUCAAAGCCUAGGCCUUCAGGUGAAACUUUGGCUAAAUGACUCAUUUGUCUUAACGCCUUUUUGAAGCCCUUCGUGUGCUCCUGGCCAAUAGCCUCCAGCAUCUCCGCCUCAGUAUUUUUCCAUUCUACCCUCUCCUGUUUGAGUUCGGUAUUUUCCUUCAGUAACUCAUCCCUUUCCUUCUGAAUAUUGCUCAAAUUGGCAAUAGUCUUCUUGGCACCUUCCAUGUCCUUCAACAACUCAUCUCAUUCGGCCUACAGCUCCAUGCUCAGUCUACGCAACCUCUCAGCAUGAGUUUUCCCUUCCUCAAUGAAUUUGGCAGCUUCCUUGGCCUUCUAGGCACACCCAGCAUGAGCGGUCUGAACGUCCUCCAGCUCUUUUCUCAAGCGAGCUAUCUCAUUCUGGACAUCCCCCCUAUUGGAAGCAUAAACCAUUUUGAAGGCUGCUCCCCCCGCCCGUAGUAUCGAAUCAAGUAGAAAUUCCGACAUCUGCUGUUCAGACAUAGCCGCCAUCACCUUUUCCUCAACGACGCCAAAAUGGAACUCGACCUUAUGUCUCAGAUCGAAGCCCGGGUCCCAUAUCCCUAACGGUAGCGACCAUUCUUCAACCGACUCCCCAGUCUCCUUCACGGUCUUCUCUUUUCUGACCGCGCUGGUCGCCCCUUCCACCCAGGCGACCUUUCUCUUGCGCGCAAAACCUUGUUCGGGGGAGGGAGGGGUAUCCUCCAAAUGCACGACCGUCGCAGGGUUCGACGACGUUCCAGUAGACCGACCAGUAGCAGCCCCAGCCUCUUUUCUAGCAACCUGAGAUUGCUUAAAUCAAUUCUUCUUGGGAGCCAUGACCUCUGCAAAAUUUCACAAAUAUUCAUCAAUCAUAUUCAAAUAAACAAGAAAUGAUAUUCAGCAAUGAAACCUACCGCAAACCCUCGACUUAAGGUCGUUGAACUUCAUACAAUUGAUCAUCUUCCUCGAGGAAAAUGGACGAGGUAACUUGAUCAAAACAUCCAAGUUCCUCUUCUCAACGUCAGUCAUGUCCUCUUGGGGCCAAGAGGUUAAUGUUCAAGGGGUCUUGGUCCAAUACAAUGGGAAUUUGGGACUACCAUCAUCGUUCAGAAAAAACGGCCUACCCCCCUUUAUAAUCGACACUUUGAAAAACUGGUUUUUAAAGUCUUUAUACGACUCGGCGAAUAAAUGGAAAAUGGCGUCCUUUGCCAUUGAACUAAGGGAAACCCAACCUUUUUUGGCGUUCGGGCGGAUUUUGAAGAAAAACAAGAAGAUUUUAGCCGUUGGUUCAAUGUCCAAAGCCUGACAUAAAACACCGAACGCUUGGAUGUAUCCCCAGCUGUUCGGGUGUAAUUGGGAAGGAGCUACGUUUAAAUAUUGCAGAACUUCCAUUUGGAAUCUGGUGAAUGGAAGCCUAAUAUACAUAUCAUAAAGCAUACAUAAAUAAAAAUAAAAACAGUUCUCUCCGACAACGUCCUCUUCGUGGAAGACUCGCUCCUCUUUCCUACAAGCAACCAACUUUAGGGCUGCGUUAUACCCUAGGGUUCAAAGAACGCAGUUGUCCUCUACCCAUCCUAACAGUAUAUCUUUAUUUACAAAAAUGAUGUAUUGAUCACCAACCUCACGGGAUGCCCAUGAGUAGUCAGCCAGAGAAGAUGAACAUUCUUGCCCCGAAUUUUCAACCUCGACUCCACCACUAACAAAAACCCUAUCUUCGCUUAACAAAGACUCAACAGAACCUACGACUCCUGGUCGAACCCUAGGUGAGUCACUACUAUCAGGUAAAGAAUGAACGGAGGAAGAAGAAGCCAUUGUUACCUGGGAAUGCGAAGACUGACACAGUUGGGGAAGAAGACACUUGGGGCAGCGCAAGAACUUCUCAAGAACGAUGACGAUGAUGCAGAAAUGAAAUGUGACGGUUCAUUUCAAAAUCACUAACUUAUUAAAGGCGUGGAGGUUACGAAACCGCCACACUGUCCACACCGUUGGAUGUACAGGAUCUAACGGCUCUUAUUUGGCGACUCUGCCACUACCAUAACGCGGGAAAAACUACUCACGUUUUCAAGGAUGAAACAACGACACAAUCGUGUCGUUUCUAAGUCAUUCACAGAACCAAACAGGUCUGUCUGACUACCUAACACGCACGCACUCAACACGAACGACACAUACACUCAUAACAAUCCUUCGGUCUCCCAAGGUCCGGCACCUCGGACUUGGGGGGGAUGACGUACGGUAGUAUAUCUCUGACGUUCGGUCUGCUAAACCGAGCGGCCAAGCUUGCUAAUCAAAUGGGCCGAAUCAUCAGAAUGGUCCAGCUCUAUUGGGCCCGAAGCCCAUCAUCUCGCAAAUACAAAUAAAUGAACAAUAUCAUAUAUCACGUAUCAAAUAAUAUCUCAGUAGAGAUAUAUCAAGUAAGUUUGUUUAUAUUUUAUUCUAUUUAUAUUUUAUUUUGUUCUUAACAUCAUAUCAAUCCAAAGCCUAUAAAUAAAGAACAAAAGGCUCCAAACAAGGUACGCUCAUAUUCUCUCACACUCAUACUUUCACUCCUAACUGAGUAUCAACCCUCUCCCCAUUCUAAGCAUCAACUUGCUGAGGAUCGAGGAUCUUCCUACACUGAUAUCUAACUUGAUCGUCGGAGUGCCUUUACAAGUACCCCCUCUCGGGUGAAGGUUGGAACUUUACGGAUGGUCUGAAGAACGGACGACGAAGGUAUUUGAAGAUCUUGCAUCAGAAAGAAGCAGAAUCGCGUCAUCGAAGUUAGUACUUUCAGUCCCAGAAAUUUUUACCGAAACAUAUAAUAUUUUCCAAAAUGAGUUUUCGGAACAUUUCUAAAUGAAAUGUAUUCAAAAAUAAUUUUUUAAGAAUACUUAAAAUAUGUUUUGGAUAAAAUUUUCGAAACAAGUUUUUCUUUUUAUUUCUUUCCAUCGUCUCCUCCUCUUCUUUUUUCUUUAUAACGGCGGUGAGGGUGGAAGCCGUGGUGAGAUUUUCAAUGAUAACAAUUGUGCGGUUUAAUAAUAGAAGGUGUUUGAAUUAUUUCUUACUAUUGUAACGGUGCGGUUAGUAAUUAUGAGGGUGCAGAAAGCAAUAACCAUCAGUUCGGCUGGCAACUGUAUCCUUUUAAGGCCAUAUUUGUUAAUCCGGAGUUCUUGUCCAAUUUCAAUAUUUAUUGAUGAUUAUAUAACAAAAUGAAAUUAUUUUAUAAUGGGAAUUCAUUACUAUAUAAUUCAUUCUUAAAAGACACAAAAGACGUGACAAUUAAAAUAAAUAUUUUGUUAUAAUUAUUCUAAACGUUAUAAAAAGAAAGAGAUCAAGAUUGACAUUGAAUAACAAUUAAAGAGAGCAAUAAAUCAUACAACCAUAUUAGGGAGGGACGCUUAAUAUUAAUAAUACUUAUAAUCAUUCUUAUUUGUAUAACCCAAUAUUAAAUGCUAACGGUAAAGUGACGUAGCGAAAUGUAACGUAAAUAACAUAAAUACAUGAUAUCACACAUAUGUGUUUGUGAGUUUCAAUGGAAAAUAAUGUCAUUUUAGUAAUUAAAUUGGAAAGUUUUUUAAAAGCAAAUAUUUCAUAGCAAACAAAACAAGUGUUCAUGUCCCCAUCAUAUAUACUAAUUUAAAAUAUGGUAACGUUAUUGUACAAACAAUAAUGUUCUUCAAAUACGGCAAAUUUCUAGUCUUCACCAAUAAAUUACAAGUACAAAAUUAGAUGGGAGUAAUUGCUUUCUCGUGGUCAACAAAAUUUAAUAAUUAUGAUGUGUUUGCCUUUAAUAAAAAAAUUUAAUUUUUAAUAUUGUAAAAGUGAGUAUAUGGAGGUGUUUUAAAAGUUGAAAUGGGUGAAAAAUAUCGUGAAUUAAACUUUUCGACUUAUAUUUAAAAAAUAUAAAAUUAAUUUGAAGGAUUAGAAAAAAAAAAGUAAGAGAAGUUGUUUUUAAAUUUUGUCACAAAAAUAAAACUAAUAAAUAAAUAAAAGUAAAAAUAUGAUAAAGUUAUAUUAAUAAAAAAGGUUAAAUAUUUUACAACUGUUAAUAAAGAAAAACUUAAAAUCAACUGAUGAAAAAUUAAUAAAAGCAAAACAUGUACUGAAGUGGAUGUGAUUAACUCCUAACUGGUAGUCCAUUUCACCUACCAAACAGUCUAUCAAAAAGCAAAAGAAGCAUACAUUUUGACUAAGAAAAACAAACUGGCUUUAUUUCUUAAACUGGUAGAUGACUAAUUUUGCCUUUAAUAUUAAAUAAUAAAAAUCAAUCUUAAAAUAAUAUUUUAUGAAUCAAAACAAUAACGUAUGAGACGCGGUAAAUUUAAUUCUUGAAAAAGAUAGAAACCUUUAUUUAGUUUUCAAAUUGAUCUGAAAAAAGUAUAGUUUUAUGAUAAAAUAAUAUUUAUCUAAUUUAAUGUCAAUUUGGUCUUUUUAGAACACUUAAUAAUAAGAUAUAUUUACAGGAUUCUGGAUAAUUUCAGAAAUUAAAAUAAUAUUUUAUAUCUUUUUCUUGAAUCAAUCAUACAACAAAUUAUAGUAUAGUGAUUGAGACCCAAGGCAUGAAUGUAGAUUGACGAUCCAACCCCUCUUCCCAUUAUUGGUGUUCAAUAUUUUAAUUUCUCUCAGAGCAGACACAAUAUUACUGUUUAAAAAAUCCAAGAAUUUCAAAUUAACGUUAAUCUCUGUUUCUGUGCCUCUGUUUUGAUGGUGCAGAUCAUCUGGAAUAAUCUAACCAUGUUUUAUGGAAUAGCAUAAUUAUUAUUGGGUUUGAGAUGAGAAUCAGAAUACAAUACCAAAUGGAUAACCUAUGGCAGAAGCUAAACAAUAGAGUCUCGUGAUCCUUCUUACAAAACAACCAUUUUCUUUCGUUUUCUUUCCUUGUUAGUGUUAUUAUUGCUUUUUUUAAUGUGUACCAAGCACAGCAUCGGUGAGGUUGCAAAUUCUAAAAUAAAAUCUCACUCUGAAUCAUGAUAAAUGACACUGCUGCCUACUGUGGCACGUAGCUAGAUACUAGAUACAUGUCCCAUCAUUUUAUAUAUAUUAUAUGACCUUAUAUUAAAGAAAAUUUCUCAAACUUCAACUUCUCUAACCCUGUCAUUUGGCCACAUGUAACUCUUGACACGUAAAGCAGCCUGCGCGUUUAACACGCUUUAUUGGUCCUACGGUACAAGCACCACAACGGUAACCAAGGAGGAAACUUUUUCUUUAUAUCAAUCCCUUCUCGUCACUUCUUUCUGUAACUCUUUUGCUUCUUUAUUUUUCUGAGAGUAUUGCAUCUCUCUCUCUCUCUCUCUCUCUCUCUCCUCGGUCUCUGCAACAUGGAGGUUCAGAUACGUGUUUUUUGUCUCUUGUUGUUUCUCUUGAGUCUGCUCUCGGGGUCUCAGGCCUACACCUUCUACGUUGGUGCGAAAGAUGGGUGGGUUUUGUACCCUUCUGAGAAUUACAAUCACUGGGCUGAAAGGAUGAGGUUCCAAGUCAGUGACACUCUUGGUCAGUUGAUUUUCGUUCUAAAGCUUUUCAACUUUUCUGCUACCUUUCUGCAUGCUUUUAUUAACUUGUGUGGUUUUUCGUGUUCAUAGUUUUUAAGUACAAGAAGGGAUCGGACUCGGUUUUGGUGGUGAACAAGGAGGAUUAUGAGAAAUGUAACAAGAAGAAGCCGAUCAAGAAGUUUGAGGAUGGUGACUCCGAGUUUCAGUUUGAUCGGUCGGGUCCCUUUUAUUUCAUCAGUGGAAAAGAUGAUUACUGUGAGAAGGGUCAGAAACUUAUCAUUGUGGUGUUGGCUGUGAGGGAGCCUCCUCCAUAUUCUCCAUCGCCACCAAAUCUUCCACCUCCUCCAAAAACUCCUUAUCCACCCCAUCUUCCCCCAAAAGCACCUUCACCUUCAUAUCAUCCACCCCAUCUUCCCCCAAAAGCACCUUCACCCUCAUAUCAUCCACCCCAUCUUCCAUCACCUCCACUUCCUCCAACCACUCCCUCUCCUAUUCCUUCCCCUACCCAUCAACCUCCCUUUGUUCCAAUAACACCAUCGCCAUUUUCUCAAACACCUUAUGUGCCACCACCACCCAAAACUCCAUCUCCUACUUCUCAACCACCGUCCAACACUCCUUCCCCCACCUCACAACCACCUUACAUUUCCACACCACCAUCCACCGCCCCUUCUCCCAUUUCCCAACCUCCCUACAUUCCAAAACCUCCAAACGCUCCUUCUCCAACAUCUCAACCACCCUACCCUAAUGCCCCAACUCCAUAUCCCAAUUCCCCUAUCAUUCAACCCCCAUCAUCAGCAUCAUCUCCAACUUCCUCAUCACCCUAUCCAUCCACCAUCCCUCCAUCAUACCCACCUUCCCCCUUCGCUCCGGCUACUACACCCUCCACUGCUUCACCACCAAUACCGUCUCCGGCAACCGCCACUUCUCCUCCGGCACCACUACCGGCAGCAACAAGCCCAUCGCCGUCGUCUUCGUCGGGAUCGUCCUCGAACGAAACGACGCCGUCCCGGCCAAACGGCGCGUCGUCUAUAUCUGAAUCGCGUUUUGGAGUGUACUCACUAACCAUUCUGGUCGGUGCUGCUCUCAGUACCAUUCUUGGUUAGAAAACCAGACUUGUUUGUUUUUGGAACUUGAAUUUUUAUUUUAUUAUUAUUUUUAUUUGAACAUAUGAGAUAUAUCCAUAUUAAUUUUAUAUUGUAUAAUGAUAAUAAUAUGAAUUCUGUGUAUCUAUGGUUACCAAUGUAGUCAGUUAUGUGAGUGGAAAUACUCUGUUUGAACAUUUUAAUAUAUUAUUGCUUAAUCAAUUUUCGGAAUAAGUUUGAUUCUCCUAAUGAUUUAUAUAAAGUACAAGAUUCGUUUAUUC